UUUUUUUUUUUUUUUAUGUUUUGGAAAAUAUAGUCUCAGGAAGUUUGCACAGUUUAAUCAUAUGGAGAAGAUUUAAUGGGGGGCCGUUGGAGAGCAUUUUUAUCGGGAUAGUGCAUGGACGGUCUGAUCCGACAUAUGAGCGUGGUUUGAUGAUGUUCCUCUAAGAUGUCCCUAUAAACCAUGGUCGGAAAAAAGUACCAGAAUAUGCAUCAUUUUGGUCACCGGCCUGUGGUGUGCUUUCUGUUGGAAUUUUGCUAGUAGGCCUUUGGCCCAAAGCCCAACUAAAAUUCUAAAAAAAAAUUGGCCCAUUCAUGCGCACAUGUGAAUGGAGUGAGUGAGGCUAAAGUUUAGUCCCAUCCCGAAAGUUGAGAGAGAGUUGCACCUCUUUAUAAGGUGAGCUCUACUACCACUUGUAUGAGCAUGAGAAGAGGAGAUCUACACGUGCGCUCCUCCUCCUCGCUCGCCUCGCCACGCCUCGUCACGACGCGGGUUGCGGGAUUGAGCUGAGAACAGAGCUAUGCACAUUGUCUAUAUUUUUGCUGCUCGGGAAAAAUUAACGAGACAUUAAUUAAUAAUUAACGGACGCGUUAAUUACUGAACCGUUUCCGGUUCUUUUGGAUCGUGACGACUCAGACGUGGGGUUUACUCCCACGACCCACCCGGCCCGUACUAUAUAGUCGGGCAGACGUCUACCCUAGCCGCCGCCGCUUCGUAUGGUUUCUCACCACCGUUCCAGAUCAUUGCGCCGCCGAGCAAGUCUUCUCCAUCCCUCCUUUCGGCGUGCACCGAGAGAAGGGACAGCAGGCCUCCAGAACCCCGCCUCUCGUGAUCAUGUACGAGAGAGGGGCGAUCAGGUUUUUGGGGCAGCGACGACUUCUUCCCCGACCUCGGCAACCUCAUCCUGGACGACAUGGGCGACAACGUCAACGCCGGCGGUGCUGCACCCGCUGCACGGUAUGUUAUUCUAUCCUUCUUGUUCGAGAUCGUGGUAAAAUUCAUGUUUCUAGUAUGUGCCCUAGAUGUGAUCUGUUCAUCUACUAUGCUAGUUCGCAUGAUUAGUUUCAUCUCUGCUAUUGCUGUCAUGAUCUAUUUCCUAUUUAUUCGGAUUAAAUCUCAUAGUAAUUUGCUCAUUUUUCCAACAAUCCAAAAACCUGAUUAUAGGCAAUUUACUCCGAGUGGUUUUGCUGCGCAUCUGAAGCCGCCCGCCUUUAAGGGGGCGCAAUAUAAGAGGUGGCGCACGAGAGCAGUCUACUGGUUUUAGACCAUGGGCUGACGCCACCAAGGGCAAGCCUGAGGGCGAUCUUAAUCCAGCACAACUGGAAGCUUUUGAGAAGAUCGAUACUCUCUUUAAAGGCGCUCUUCUGAGUGUUCUGGAUGAUUCCAUUUUGGAUUCGUAUGUGUCGUUUGAAAACGGCAAGGACACGUGGGCUGCGCUCAAGGCCAAGUUUGGUGCCUCAGACACCGGCAGCGAGUUGUACGUCAUGAAGCAAUUCUAUGACUACAAGAUGACUGAUGAGCGCUCUGUUGUACAGCAGGCUCAUGAGAUACAGUCGCUCGCAAAAGAACUUGAGUACUUCAGGUGUGUGUUGCCGGACAAAUUUGUUGCCGGAGGCAUCAUUGCCAAACUUCCACCUUCGUGGAACAAUUUUGCUACUUCCCUGAAACACAAGAGACAGGAGUUUUCUGUUGCGGAUCUCAUUGGUACUCUUGAUGUUGAAGAGAAGGCGAGAGCAAAGGACACACGUGCUCGAGUUGCUGAGGGGGCUUCUAGUGCCCACAUGGUACAGAAGAAGAACUCCCAGCCCAAUAAGUUCAAAAACAAUAAGAACAAAACUCAGGGCAAAGGAAAGUUUGAUACAAAGAACAAGCCAUCACAUUCUACCAACUUCAAGAAGAAUUCUCAUAAGAAGGGGAAGGGACUUUGCCAUGUCUGCGGUGAUCCUAAUCACUGGGCUCUGAAGUGUCCUAACCGCUUUGAGGAGCGCGAACAUGAGAAGAGCGGAAAGUCCGCUAAUGUUGUCAUUGGUGAUAUUGAUAUGAAGGAAUCAGGGUACAGUAUUUUACCUACCAUCCUUUCAGUAUUUCAAUCCCCUGAUUGGUUAAUUGACACUGAUGCCAAUGUACAUGUUUGUGCUGAUGCCUCCAUGUUUUCUUCUACCAGGCAACUAGGACUUCUCCCGUGCUGAUGGGGAACGGGUCACAUGCCAUCGUUCGAGGUGUUGGUACGGUCGAUCUAAAGUUUACUUCGAGACCGUGCGUCUGAAGAACGUUCAUUAUGUGCCGUCCAUCAAUAAAAAUCUCGUUAGCGGUUCCCGUUUAUGUCGAGAUGGUUUUAAGUUGGUUUUCGAAUCCAAUAAAGUUGUAAUUUCUAAGUAUGGACAAUUUGUUGGAAAAGGCUAUGAGAGCGGAGGCUUGUUCCGCCUGUCUUUAUCAGAUAUUUGCACUAAAGUUAUUAAUAAUGUUUGCCACAAAAAUGAGUCUGAUAUUUGGCAUUCACGACUUUGCCACAUUAACUUUGGUUGCAUGACGCGGCUAGCCAAUAUGAAUUUAAUUCCGAAAAUCUCUACUGUCAAAGGCUCUAAGUGCCAAGUAUGUGUGCAAGCUAAGCAACCUCGCAAGUCCCAUAAGACUGCAGAGGCAAGAGACUUGGCGCCACUUGAGCUUAUACAUUCUAAUCUUUGUGAGAUGAAUGGCGUGUUGACAAAAGGUGGAAAGAGAUACUUCAUGACGUUGAUUGAUAACUCCACUAGAUAUUGUUAUGUGUAUCUUCUGAAAUCAAAAGAUGAGGUUUUGACUUUCUUCAAAAACUAUAAAGCUGAGGCAGAGAACCAACUUGAUCGAAAAAUUAAAUGGCUUAGGUCCGAUCGUGGUGGAGAGUAUUUUUCCAAUGAAUUUGAUCUGUUUUGUGCGGAACAUGGUAUAAUUCAUGAGAGGACGCCUCCCUACUCACCCCAAUCAAAUGGGGUAGCCGAAAGAAAGAACCGAACUCUAACUGAUAUGGUUAACACCAUGUUAGACACUUCGGGUCUAUCCAAGGAAUGGUGAGGGGAGGCGCUAAUGACUGCUUGUCAUGUCCUAAACCGAGUUCCCACAAAGCAUAAGACCAUGACUCCUUUUGAGGAAUGGGAAAGGAAAAGGUUGAAACUCUCUUACCUACGUACUUGGGGUUGUUUGGCAAAAGUCAAUACACCAAUUCCCAAGAAGCGCAAGCUUGGACCAAAAACCGUGGAUUGUGUUCUUCUGGCUAUGCUUUUCAUAGCAUCGGCUAUAGAUUUUUGAUAAUAAAAUCUGAGGUAUUCGACAUGCAUGUUGGUACGAUUAUGCAGUCGAAUGAUGCAACUUUCUUUGAGGACAUAUAUCCUAUGAAGGAUAUGUUGAGUUCAUCAAAUCAGGAGAUACCUACUCCAUAUAGUGAGGAAUUCACUGUAAUUCCUGAACCCACCAUUGCGAUGGAACACUUUGAGAAUCCUGUUGAGGAUGACAAUGGAACUCCUGUGAGGAGUAAGAGACAGAGGACUGCAAAGUCCUUUGGUGAUGAUUUCAUUGUGUACCUCGUGGAUGACACACCCAGGACUAUUUCAGAAGCCUAUGCAUCUCCUGAUGCUGACUACUGGAAGGAAGCUGUACGUAGCGAGAUGGAUUCCAUCUUAGCUAACGGUACCUGGGAGAUCACUGACCGUCCUUAUGGGUGCAAACCUGUAGGAUGUAAGUGGGUGUUCAAGAAGAAGCUUAGACCUGAUGGUACGAUUGAAAAGUACAAGGCACGGCUUGUGGCCAAGCGUUAUACCCAGAAAGAAGGUGAAGACUUCUUUGAUACUUACUCACCCGUGGCUAGACUAACCACAAUUCGGGUGCUACUAUCACUGGCUGCCUCACAUGGUCUUCUCGUUCAUCAAAUGGACGUUAAGACAGCUUUCCUCAAUGGAGAGUUGAAGGAGGAAAUUUACAUGGAUCAGACAGAUGGUUUUGUAGUACCUGGUCAGGAAGGAAAGGUGUGCAAGUUAUUAAAGUCUUUAUAUGGCCUUAAACAAGCUCCUAAGGAGUGGCAUGAGAAGUUCGAAAGAACCUUAACUGCUGCCGGCUUUGUAGUAAACGAUGGUGACAAGUGCGUGUACUAUCGCUAUGGUGGGGGCGAAGGAGUUAUUCUUUGUCUCUAUGUCGACGACAUACUGAUCUUUGAAACCAAACUUGAUAUAAUCAAGGAGGUUAAGGAUUUCUUAUCUCGUUGUUUUGAGAUGAAGGAUCUAGGAGUAGCUGAUGUUAUUUUAAAUAUCAAGCUGUUGAGAGAUGAGAAUGGUGGGAUCACACUGCUUCAGUCUCACUAUGUGGAAAAGGUCUUGAGUCGUUUUGGGUAUAGCGACUGCACACCUUGUCCAACUCCAUAUGAUGCUAGUGUGUUGCUUCGAAAGAAUCGACGGAUUGCUAGAGAUCAACUGAGGUAUUCUCAGAUUAUUGGCUCGCUUAUGUAUUUGGCGAGUGCCACGAGGCCUGACAUCUCGUUUGCUGUUAGCAAGCUGAGUCGGGUUGUGUCAAAACCAGGAGAUGAUCAUUGGCAUGCUCUUGAGAGAGUUAUGCGCUAUUUGAAAGGCAUCGCGAGCUAUGGGAUUCACUACACUGGGUAUUCAAGGGUACUGGAGGGUUAUAGUGACUCAAACUGAAUAUCUGAUGCUGACUGAGAUUAAGGCCACAAGUGGUUAUAUUUUUACACUUGGUGGUGGCGCUGUUUCCUGUAAGUCUUGCAAGCAGACCAUCUUAACGAGGUCAACUAUGAAAGCAGAACUCACAGCUUUAGACACUGCCAUGUUGAAGCAGAGUGGCUUCGUGAACUCUUGAUGGACUUACCUAUGGUUGAAAAACCAAUACCCCCUAUCCUGGAUGAACUGUGAUAAUCAAACUGUGAUCAACAAGAUAAACAGUUCAAAGGACAAUAUGAAGUCCUCAAGACAUGUGAAGAGGAGACUAAAAUCUAUCAGAAAAUUGAGGAACUCCGGAGUUAUUACGUUGGAUUAUAUCCAAACGUCGAAAAACUUGGCAGAUCCCUUCACAAAGGGUCUAUCACGUAACGUGAUAGAUAAUGCAUCGAUGGAGAUGGGCUUGAGACCCACCGCAUGAGUUGUCCAUAGUGGUAACCCACUCUGUGUGAUCGGAGAUCCCGUGAAGUAAAAGUGGGAGACAAGCUGUUGGUCAGCUGAGAGGAGAGUAUCCCUAUAUUAACUAUCCCACUCCGUGAAGAUGUAAUACUCUCCUGAUCUGCAUGGCAGGUUAAUACUUAUCUUAAUGUGUUUCAAGUGGCUUAUUCGGGUAAGCAGAGAUGUUAUCCUGCAGAACAUCUUCUGAGGAACACACCUAUAUGAAUUUGACUGUUAACGUCGCAGUCUGUGAGAAUUGGGUGUUCUCUAAUAAAUUCAUGAAAAGGCCCUGGAGUAUGACGUAUACGCUCCACCCGCGGGGAAGCCUUGCGGCAGCCCAGUAUCAGUCAAGAAUUUGUGUUAAACUAGUCUCGCAGAAAACUUGUAGUUCAAGGCAUAGUCCACUAUUCAAGUUGUGAUCUAGUGUAGCAUAAAAUCUCUAAGUGGAAGUUCAACUUCACAGUCUCCACUAAGCAUCGGUAUAUAAACAAUGUUUUGGAACUAAAUGAUGAGAUGUGCCAACGAGACUUUGUGGGGGAUUGUUGGAAUUUUGCUAGUAGGCCUUUGGCCCAAAGCCCAACUAAAAUUCUGAAAUUCUCUUGGCCCAUUCAUGCACACAUGUGAGUAGAGUGAGUGAGGCUAAAUUUUAGUCCCACCCCGGAAAUUGAGAGAGAGUUGCACCUCUUUAUAAGAUGAGCUCUUCUACCACUUGUAUGAGCAUGAGAAGAGGAGACCUACUCGCUCGCCGCGCCGCGCCGCGUGAUUGAGCCGAGCCGAGGACAGAGCUAUGCACGUUGUCUAUAUUUUUGCUGCUCGGGACCCUAGCCGCCGCCGCUUCGUAUGGUUUCUCACCACCGUUCCAGAUCAUUGCGCCGCCGAGCAAGUCUUCUCCAUCCCUCCUUUCGGCGUGCACCGAGAGAAGGUACAACAGGCCUCCGGAACCCCGCCUCUCGUGAUCCUGUACGGGAGAGGGGCGAUCAGGUUUUUGGGGAGCGCACUCGCGCGACUGCUGGCAGCGACGACUUCGCAAACGACGACUUCUUCCCCGACCUCGGCAACCUCAUCCUCGACGACAUGGAUGACAACGUCAACGCCGGCGGUGCCGCUUCGUAUGGUUUCUCACCAUCGUUCCAGAUCAUUGCGCCGCCGAGCAAGUCUUCUCCAUCCCUCCUUUCGGCAUGCACCGAGAGAAGGGACAGCAAGCCUCCGGAACCCCGCCUUUCGUGAUCCUGUACGGGAGAGGGGCGAUCAGGUUUUUGGGGAGCGCACUCGCGCGACUGCUGGCAGCGACGACUUCGCAAACGACGACUUCUUCCCCGACCUCAGCAACCUCAUCCUUGACGACAUGGGCAACAACGUCAACACCGGCGGUGCUGCACCCGCUGCACCGUAUGUUAUUCUAUCCUUCUUGUUCGAGAUCGUGAUAGAAUUCAUGUUUCUAGUAUGUGCCCUAGAUGUGAUCUAUUCAUCUACUAUGCUAGUUCGCAUGAUUAGUUUAAUCUCUGCUAUUGCUGUCAUGAUCUAUUUCCUAUUUAUUCGGAUUAAAUCUCGUAGUAAUUUGCUCAUUUUUCCAACACUUUGCCCUUCCCCUCAUCAAGGCCGCCAUCUAUGUGGUCGUCGUGGCUGUCAGGCGGCACACCGACCCUCAUGUGGUCGCUCAUGGUGUGACCCUUGAGGAAUCAAGAUCCUUGGGUGCUCCCUGAUCUGGUGGUGUUGUGGUCAGUGAUGUGGUCGUUUGUGACUGUAUAGUCGUGCUCCUUUAGUGCUUCCAGAUGUGAGUGGUUGUGGGUGGCAGGUGUGGUGCCAUCGUCCCUGAUGUGGCAGUUCAAGGCCGUGCUUCGUGGGGAAUCCGACUCCUGUAAUUGCAAUCACGGGCGUAGGUUUUCUUCAGGUCGUUCCUAAUGUGUUUGAUGUGGUCAUUCAUGGUAGUGCUCCUUUGGGGCGCCCGUUCUAGGUUUUUCAUGCCGCCCCCAUUCUAUCCACGAUCCAGCUUGGUCGUCCUCGGCCAGAUCUAGUGGUUGUUCACUCGUUUUACCAGAUCUCUCGCGCAUUCUCCUCCCGUCGGAUCGUCUACGUCCAGUGGGAAACGUUGGUCGAAGUUUGCGUUCUGGUUGUUCGUCUCUUGGUCGUUGGUCGGUCAUGAUGGACUUCGUCCCUAAUGCUUGCAUGCACCCUCUUGCUGCCAUCUCAUUGAUGCCCGUUCCCAUAUGGCCCCGCCCCUAUGGCCUGGACGACGGCAGGUAUGGUGGUGUUGGGUUGAUGGUUUUGGUGUUUAGCGUUGUUGGUCCUAGGCUCAUGCAAGUGGUGAGGUCUCAAGGAUGGUGGCGGUCUCUUCCCUGCAGUAUCGUGCUUUAGUCGUUGUCAUAGUAGUUGUUUGUUGGGUCGUGUUGUACUGUUGUAGCUGGCUGUGUUUGGCUCUUGCAAAGGAUUUUUCUAGCUUUCAUGCCGUGUGUUGCUCUUGUCCUAGUCUAUGUUGUUUGGUCAUCUUCGAGUCGUCGAUUGUUUCACUAUCGGUUGAUAAUCCUUAGCUUGUUUAGGUCUAGUUUUGGUCAGUGUCAUUUGUAUGGUUUGUGCCUAUCUUUGAUGUUUUAUCUUACUCUAUCAUAAUGAAUUCACAUGCAUCUCUUCACGAUGGUUCCAAAAAAAGAGGAAACUACCAGAACCAGACGUCCCUUUUACUUGCUUUCAUUUACCCCUUGCAUAUAUGGUUAUGAGAACAAAUAAGUAGCCAGAGAUACACUUGGGGAUGACCUCCUACUCACGACCAGCAUGAUUUGUUCUCUGAGGCGUACAUUUCCUGUUUUUGACGCUACGCAACAAGUUUUGCAUAGUGAACAUCUAGACGAUGGAACACCGCUACGCCCAGGGAGCAGUUUUCAUUGCUUUCAUGACGCAUCCUAUUCCGCAAGUUAAGCUUCUAAGGCAUUUUUCCUUCUUCGCUAAUUAGGACCCUUCAAGCCAGUGAGUGGUAGCAGCAGAAGAAUAUGCAUGUGGUUGGGCGUUCUCCUACUUUGUGUGGGAAUGGAUGGGGCGAUACAUAUAUAGGAAGGAAGACUUCGUAGAUCCCCUACUCUGUCUAUAAAUGUCAGGCUGGCCACACGAUGUAUCGACCUCAUGUGUACUUCUUCUGUCCAUCUGAACUCCAAACUAACGUUUGCCCAUUCAAAUCUAUAUUAAUCAGAUGCUAGCACAAUUAAUGAACAAGACCACACUGAACAGCAAGCAGCAGCUGGAUUAUGUUUCACGCUUAUACUGCAUCAUAAUGCCUUUUUUCCCUUGUGCUGCAUCGUACUGUUGAGCAAAUCCACAAGUGUCACUCCCAUGGGAUGGCCCAAACCAUACAUGAAGGGAGCGUUCUUGUCGGUUAGCUGUUUUCUUCCGGGUUGUGGGCCGAUUAUCUUUCUGUACAAGAUUUUUUUUUUCUUGCUUGGCGGUUAUCUUCUGUUUUUUUUAAUGUUUUUUCCUGGUUGAUUCAUUCCAUUUUUCGUUUUUUUUAUGUUUGCCUUUUUCAUUGAUUUACACGGAUUUUUUAUGUUCGCCUCAUUCAUCAGUUUCUUCAAGUUCUAGUUUUCCUUCUUUUUCUAUUUUUCAUUUUUCUUUCCUAUUUCUUACUUUUUCCUACUCUAAUUAUAUUUUCUAAAAUAAAUGAAUAGUUUUUACAGUCGUGAACACAUUUUUAAAUUUGAGAAAAACAUUAAUAGGAGAAGAUUUUUGAAAUACAGGAACAUAUUGAACUUCGAGAACACUUUCCAACUUUAGAUUUUUUUGUGAAAUCACAGAAAUUUUAUAAAUUCAUGAAUGAUUUAUAAAUUUGAGAAGUUUUGUCAAAUUUUGAAAUUUCUACAAUAAUUUGUGAAAUAAACAAAUAGUUUUCAAAUCUAGAACAUUAUAUGAAAACAUGAACAUUUCCUUAAAUUCGAAAAAUUCAUUAAUAUAUUAUAUACUCGAAAAUAUUUUUAAAUCCAGAAUUUUUCUAAAAUUUGCAAAAGAAUAUAUAUUCAGGAAUAUUUUUUGAAAUUCAAAAAACUAUGUUUCAAAAUAUUUGUGGAACUUUUUUGUUUCUAACUUUGACAUCAUAAAAAAAUGCAGAAGAGAAAAUUGCUUGGCAGGAUCCAGCAUCCAAUGUGCCAGCCGAGGGGAGCACCCAAUGAAAUUGCUUGACUACUUGACGCGACGAGUGUCGACUACACUUCGCCAAGAGACAUUCAAGUUGUCGCUCAUUGUAACAUAUUGAUGGUCAAUCACAUAGGGCGUCCUGACUAGGACUGUGCAUGUAAGCGGUAUAUAUUGUAGUGGUAUUUUUAUAUACUAUAGCGAGGCAAAGUUUGUGUUAUCUUGGUUACCAGUUUUCUCAAAAAGAAAAGCAUACAUAGUAGAAAAUGAUAGAACAUCAUAAAUUAUGAAAUGUGUAUUUAAAUAAAUUGUGAACGUUGUUAUGAAAAAUAAACAACAUGAAUUGUGUGUGAACAUUUUUAUAAAAAAUUGAAAUUUGAGUUCUUUUAGAUGCGAUAUUUUCUAAAAUGCCUGUGACCAUUUCAAAAAAAUCAGUUAAGAAAAUUAGAUAUUUUUAGAAUUAACAUUUUCCAAUAUUUGAACAUGUUAAAAAAAUUGAAUUCCUUUUGAUGUUUUGAUUUUUUAAGGGAAGAUAUUUCACAAGAUCUGCCUUUUUGAGAUUACGAACGUGGUUUGAAAAGAAAAUAAUAAUCUUAAAAUAGAAAAGGAAGAAAGGAAAUCAAAAACUGAAAAUAAAACCGGUAAAGGAAAGAAUAGAUUUUUUUGGACCGGAUCCUUCUAGAAUGUUACUAAAACCUGGAAACCUAGAUUUGGAACCAUUGUGAAGCCGCCUUUCCUAUACAACUAUUGCAAGCUAAUUGGGCUGACCCACCCGAGCGCUCAAUUUGUGCGAAAGGUGGACAUUACAUCGCAGUGAAGGACAAAUAGGAUCUCAAGAUCCACCAAUCAUGACGAUACGUUCAUAGUAGGCAAGUGCUCGCCCAGGGGCGAGUAAGGUGAGGCGGCACAGCUUCAUCGAUGUAUAUUGGACAAUUUUUUGUGGUUUCUUAGCUUUCUUUCUUUACGUCUUUCCCCAAUGUUUUCGAUUUUAUUUUCCCCAUUCCUUUUGGGUUUCCCAUUUUAUUAUUUUCAAUUUCUUGAAUGCAUUUGAAACUAUUUUUUAGGACACAACGAAAAUUUCUCAAGAAUUUGAGCAUUUUUGUAAAAUUAAAAAUCCACAUAGAGCGUUUUUUUAAAUACACAUUGAAAAAUUUUCAAAUACACAAUGGGCAUUUUCAAAUACAAGUUGAAUAUAUCUUAAAUGCACGUCAAAUAAUUUUCAAUCGCACGGGUAACAUUUUGUAAAUAUGGUCAAUAUCUUCUUGCAAAUAAAAGAGAUACACAUUUCAAAAAAUAUUAUAAGGUAAAUAUUUUUGAAAUACAUGCUGAUCAUUUUUCAAAUACAGAAAUACACAUCAAAGUUUCUCAAAUACACAUUGAAUAUUUGGUGAGUGCAUGUCAAGGAUUUUCCAAAUAUACGAUAAAUAUCAUUUAAAUUUUUAUAAUAUGUUUUCAAAUACAUGUUGGUUUGUUUAAAUGUAGAUUAGAUUUUUUAUAUUUUUAAAUACGCAAUAAAAAUUAUAUUCACACCAGUUGUAUUUUAAAAUAUUGAUUGGACUUUUCUUAAAUACAAAAUAGACGAUUAAGUUUUUUAAAGAGACAUUGAAUAUUUUUUAGAUACAUGAUAAACCUUUUAAAAUACUAAAAAGAUAAAUAGUUGACUCAGAGUGAGAUUUUUUUAAUGCAGAUCAAACUUUAUUUAUAAAUUAUUGAAAUAAAAUGUUGUUUGCUAACUGGUACAAGAUGUUCCAAUAAUGUAUGUUUGGUACCUGGUACAAGACCAAUUCAAACAGACUCAUUCAACACCCACAAAAUAUGUGUUUCCCAAGACCUUGUGAAUAUCAGUUAAGAGCAUGAAGUAAUUUCUAAACCAUUAAAUUAAAAAUCCAACCACAUUAAUUAAUUAUAUGUGUACAUCCAGACCAUGUGCAUUUCAAAUAUCAAAACUACAUAUGAAAAUAGACAAAUCGAAUGUUACCAAACCAUCCAAACCGUAUUGGAUAUCAGAUUUCGUCAAUUCAAUUUUGAUCCAUCAAUUAAGAUGGACAGAUUGUCACAAAUCAACUAAGCGUCACCCGCAAAAAAAAAACAGACCAACUAAGCGUUUGAAAUUUGAUUAGGAAAAAAAUCACAUUUUCUUGGGAGAAGUAUGAAUAAUAAAUCCAUGCAGAAAAAUAUGCAGCAUGCCGCUUUAUUUGUAAAUUCUUAUCCUUUAGAAACAAAGAUUUUGUCAACAAAUACAAAUAGACAAGUUGUUGCUAUGUGUCUCCAGAAAAAUAAAUACAUAAAAGAUUGAACUAUCAAAUGAUUCAUAAAAACCAGAUCAAUUUCUGUCCCUACCUGCAGAGCAUAGAGCUACUUUAUUUUAUAUAAGGCACGCAUGCAUUUCAAGAUUGAACUUUGGUCAUAAGUUAGACAAACCAAAUGUAAGUUAUAGGUGACGAAAAUUAUACGAUUGAAUUUGUAUUCGAAAGAAGUUUUUAAUGGUAUAGUCAUGAAGUCAUAAAACAUAUGGUAUUGAUGUAAUUUAUGGUUGAAAUUAAAUUUUAGAAUGCGUGUGAGCCUUAUUUUCGGGAAUGGCAGGAGUCAAAGUCUUACCAUAGUUGUUUACUCCAUCCAUCCUAAAAUUGGUAGAUGUCUGUCAAUAGCACUGCAGUUAACGUUUUACAAGUUCUACUAUGAGUGAGGAUCUGGUAGCCAUCGUGUGUGGUGCCUCAUUGUUUCUGACUGGCGAAUGCACAUCGCCUGGCGCAUGGUUAAGCACCCGAUCUAGAUGCAAGGAUGUGCACAUUAGUGUAAUCAGCUGUCGCACACUCAAAAUAUACAGGUAACCGUAUAGGGACGGAUGGGCGAUAGAUAGCAGGAAGGUGUCAGAAGCCAUGGCAGAUAUCAUCAUAGAGCACAUAGCAUUAAUUUGCGUAGUACGGUUGCAUGUUCUACAACCUUUCCCUUCCCUCCCUCCACCUGUUUGUAAGAUGCAAGAGAAGAUGCAUUUUGCAAGAAAAAAUGCAAGGGAAUCUGCAUUUUGCAGGAAAGUGGACCUGGUUUAUUUUUACCCUUUUUUCCUCGCCCACAUUUCCAUGUUAAGAUCCCUGUAAAUUUCUUCAGAAAAUCGUAUAAAAAUGAAGCAAGAAAACGGAUGCGCUAACGCACAACGGCUUUCGCACUAGUUGCUCAAUAAAUCAUAUAAAUUUUUGUGAGAAAAAAAUUGCAAGAAAAAAACAUAUUAUCGCGCCAACCAUACCAUAUUAUUGCAUGAAAAAACUAAUAAUGUGAUUUAGUACAUGUCCCCUACUGUGUGUAGCUACCUUACUCCUAGCAAAAACAUUGAUGCUUCAGCUGCCGGUACAUGACUAAGUGAGUUUAGCAGGAAGCAGUCUGAUGGCGCAGUGUGCGAUGGACGGUGGAUGCCCGUGUGGCGCAGUAUCACGGGAGCUACCCGAUGUUUUGUGCAAUCUUUUGUUAGGCAAAGUUCUACUAUCAAUCUGUAAAAUUCGUACGUUUUAUCACAUACAUAAAUGUCAACAGAUUUCUGUCACAAGUAGUCGACUUUACAUCAUCAAUUAAAUUUGGAAUAAUAGUAUUAACUAGUAAGAGAGACUAGUUCAAAGAUGCUAAUUUCGAGGCCACCAUGUGCAUUUCGCAAGUCAAGAACUACAAUGCUAUCGAAGUGAAUUGGAAGGAGAGCUACCAUUAGAUACAAUAUUUUUGAUACUAAACCAUUAAAGAUCGGAUCACGUCAACUAAGAUGGCUUGCUAGUUAGAUCUGGCAAUUAAUCUAAGUCAACACUCUCCUUCCUCCUUUAACCGAAGAUUAACUCUACUCGCCUGGUAGCUAGAUAGCUAGAACUAGAAGCAUUUCUCAAACUGCAUGCAUCGAAGACCAAAACGAGUCAGAGUUCCAUUUUCCGCAUGCCAGGCUAGCUCAUGUGCUUAUAGGAACUACUACGUAGGAACACCAGUAUUUAGUGUAAGAGGAGUGCUACACAGCCGACGAUUUUUCGGCCAAUGCAUGCACGACACUAGCUAAUCACUGUUAGAUUAAAUUCCUUCGUAAAUAAGGAACUUAAGAUCCUACCAUCGUGCAGAUGCCGUCCAGAAAUGGAGCUAUUCCGUUAAUGUAAUGCAUCAUGCACCUUACGGUUAGGCGAGUCACUGUCCAUGUGUCGAAAUCCUUAUCUUUGUCAUUAGUUAAGCAAGAUCAUACAGGAUUUUCUUUUGGUAAUUAGCAGUAACACAUGUCUUACAUACGGUAUACUUACUGUUCUUUGUGUAUCUUGUUUUCCCCUUUUUUGCUGUCCGGUGUUCUUCGUUAUAAUGGCUAAGUGACAUUAAGUGCACAAUGUCAAAGGAUUCCCUGUGAUCGCCUAGAUCGAUCAAAUCACGUGAGGAAGUCGUAAGUCGUCGCCCGGCAGGCUCGAACUAAGCAAGAUCCAAAUUUUCGAUGCGCUCGAUUAUAGAAGCUCCAGUUGCUGCAUGAAAGUCCAUGGAUACGAUCACAUCUACUGUCCUAGUUGCAGCAUCAAAGUCCACGGAUCCGCAGAUCUCCUCCGAGUACUAGUAGUAACGUGGAAGCCAAUGCCAUUAAGAUAAAGGUAUAGCUGCAUGUGGCAGCUGCUUCGAGCCAGCCCUAUAAAUGCCCACGCGAUGUCUUGUUUAGCACCAUCCCACACACUCAGUACUGCACACACUGAUUCAUAAUGUCUUGGACUAAGCUUAUAUCGCUUAGCCUGGUUGUCCUGUUUAGCGUUGGAUUAGCCAGCGCUGGUAGGGUAUCUAGAUACUCUAGUUCCCAGGGAACAGGCACUGGAGGCGGAGAGGGUGGAGGAGCGGUGAACGGCGGCGGCGGAGGAAGCGGGAAUGGCCAGGGAGCUGCUCAGAGUGGAAGCGGAGGAACCCAUGCAAGUGCUGGAGGCGGCGGAAGCGGGGGUGGUUGGUCAGGGUAUAAUGGUACUGGGUAUGGCGCUGGGUCCGGCAGCGGCUCAAGCUCUGGCCAGAUGAGCCAAGGAUCAUCAAAUUAUGGUGGUGAUGGUGGGAGUACAAGCGCAGGUGGUUCCGGUGGCGGCGGCGGUGGUGGAGAGGCCGCCGACGACGACGACGACUGCCCGGCUGACUCCGCUGGCUUUGGGACAGGUGGCGGCACCGGAUCUGGAUCCAGCGAGGCGAAUAAUGACGGUGAUGCCUCCUAUACAAAUGCAAAUGCUUCCGGUAAUGGUGGCGGCGAGGGCGGUGGUAAAAAUGGUGGAACCGGCGGUGGCACAGGCGGUGGAAGCGGUUACGGUGACGCAAACCCAUGAAGCCUCUCCGUCCAAUCAAAGCAGACCGAGAGCCCAAGCUAUCGUCGUUCUCUUUUCUUUUAUUUGCAUUUGUUUUGUUCUUACGUUUCCAUGUACUAUUAGGGACAACUAAUAAAGGGCUUCAUUACACAAGUGUCUGUGAGUGACGCGGAGACUAGCUAUUUCACUGUGAGAUACCUUUGUGUAUCACUCACAGCCGUGUGUCGCGCUUAUUAUGUCUCUUCCUUGUUCUGUGUACGACUGAUCUUCCCAACAUGAGUUUACUGUUCCUUGAUCAGGCCAACGAUUUCUGCAACUUGGUGCAUGUUUCUAGACCGAUCUACUGCCCCAUCAUUGAUGAGAGCGACGAUCUCCGCGCAUUCAGUCUCUACCACCAAUGGCGUUUGGGACCAGUGCAAGGCUAGUCAACCCUAAAGUAUGAAAGAUUGACUCAUACUCAUUUGUUGUAGGGUUUAGAAAGUUCCUUCAAGAAUGAACGGGGAAUAAAUAUUCUGAGAAAUAAUGCAUGCACUGUUCCACUGCUAGGUUCACAUAUGUUUGACAUAGUUAGUGGAGUUUUUAAAUUUUUUGAGACCACAUUGCUAUCAAAGUUGAAUUCCCUAAUUUGCCACAAAAACAAAAAAACUUCCCAAGUUUCCCGCAACAAAAAAGGUAAUCCCCCCAAGAUAGAGUUACACUAAGAAAAUUCACACAUAGCACCAAAAUUGAAAAUGGAAAAACGAAAUGCACUCAACAUAUUCAUCCAAUCUGAAACUACAUGUUUAAUCAGCGUGACUUUUAAGUCCCCGUUACACCAGAUGUGUGUGCUUAGCUGUGGAAUUUACAUGAAAAAGGAUCGUCACAAUGACAAGAAGUGCCCAAACACAUGUGAGCAAUACCAUAUUACCGUGCAUUCUGCUAUUGAUAUCUACACUAUUCUAUACUGAAUGGGAACAAUGCAAAACCAUCUCUCUUUCCCAUACUUGUAUAAGUACAGUUAAAAAUAAUUCAAAAGACAAACAGCAGGAACAAAUACUGCACAAUUUUGUUACAUCCUUUCUGAUUUCUUAUUUUCUUUUUCCUUUAUUUUUUUUAUUUUUCCUUUUUCUUUGUUUUUUCUUUUUCCUUGGUUUUUCCUUUUUAUUUUUCGAAAAUACAUGAACUUUUUUAUCAAAAUAAAUGAUUUUUUAAAUCUGGUUAACAUUUUUCGAAUUUGUGAACUUUGUUUUUGAAAAAAUCACUGAAACCUUUUUCAAAUCCAUGAACUAUUUUAAAAAAUAUGGGGAACUUUUUUCAAAUUCUUGAAAAAAAAUUAAAAAAAUUGAUGAACUUUUUUCCUACCUUGUGAACUUUUUCGAAAAUCUGUGAACUUUUCUCAAAAUCCAUGAACUUUUUUAAAAAAUCAUGAAUUAUUUUUUUGAAAUUUACGUUUUCUUUUCUCAAGUAAUACUGAACUCAAAUAAGGGUCAAAUAGCAUUGUUUUCGUAUAAAACAGAUCAAAGUGACCGCGGUGAGAUCCAAGGGACAUAUGUCCCCAUAGACCAUUGGGUGAAGAUUUUUUUUCUUCGAGUUUGUUUUUUUAGCAUAUUGCUGGAUGCAAGCGAUGUUGGGCCGACCCAGUACCACUCACAUUCGAACGCCAACUAGCCUACUGCUGCCUUGAAGCGCUUUCUGGCAUCCUUAUGUAAGCAGAUGCUAAGAAAUUUUGUUAACUCGGGAGAUGUAUUGUCUGAUGGUGGCUGAGGCAGAACAGUAUAACAGAUACGCUCUGCGGUAGCUAUCACUCCAUGCCCUUCUAGUUGCUUCUUCUCGCCAUAGGGAUAUAUGCCCAAGUACAACUCUAAGACAGUUAAUCCGAAUGACCAAAUACCCGAUGCGUACACGUCCCAUUCAUGCCUUGUGGGUCGAUCUUGCCCGAGCUAAGGUAGAAGAAUGUUUGCUCUGAAGUAUUGCAGGCCGUCGAGGUAAGCAUGCAAUCUUUACACUGUUAGCAACAUCAACCAGAGUGUUGUGUGGUUUAAUAUCUUAAUGAAUAAUUUUUUAGCUAUGUAGAUAGGCAAUAACUGAUAGCAUCUGUUUAGCCACACAGACAAGCAAGACCUCGUCAAUGAUGUGUCGUCCUUUAAGAGAUCCCGAGUCCAUAAAUUCAAGCGGAAUCCUAAUCUUCCAUUCAGACUGAUACGCAUCAUAAUACCUCAUUAGGUUUGGGUGCUUCAUAGUCUGCAAUAUGGAUAUCUAUUUUUAUGUGAUUUACCCAAUGGUCUAUGGGGACAUAUGUCCCCUGGAUCUCACCAUUCAUUUUCGGCUUGAUCUAUUUCCUGCUAUAUGUGAUAUGCCUUUUCUGUUUUGUAUAAUUAUAUGUUCCUUCGUAUAAGUUGCUUUCUACCCUAUGUCGUAGGCGUGACCCCACAAUCACGUUUAAUGGUCGCUAUUCCUAAUGGAAGAGUUGGUAGUCUCGUCUUUCUCCGGUUAAUCCUUUCCCACCAUUUUUAUCGCGCCAACACAUUUAAACCAGAUUUUACCCAUGAUCUAUUUAAACCGAUUUUAUCUGUCAAUAAGAUCAAUCAAUUUUUGGUAGUAUUUGGUAACUUUUAUAUGGAAAGGAAUAAAUAAUGAUCAAUCUUUAAUUAGGACUUGGUAGCCUCCUCUUCACGGUUUUGUUGGUCAAGGUUUUUUGUCUUCCGACCACCCCUCCUGCUGCAAAACCAAAAAAGACUUCCCUCGAUCCACCCCCUCCGGAUGGAACCCCCACACACCACGAUCGCCAAACCCUACCCACCCCCUCCGGAGUGAGUUUCAAACAAGAAUAACGCGCGUGUGUGUGUGAGUAACGGGGAGACUACCUAUUUCACUGUGAGAUGCCCUUCCGUGUAUAUCUCAAUGUUGCUCUCACCUUUCAUUCGAUCCUUAUUGUGUUGCUGAGAUAACGCUCAACUAUCUAUAUUUUUGUUUCCUCCAUUGGACUAAAUUCAUUAGCAAAUUCAACAUUAAUAUAUGAAGAUUGACUCUGGCCAACUCAUUUUUGGAGGAUUUAGAAAGUUUCUUCAAAUGAAUAGGAAAUUAGUAUUGCGACAGAAUGGUGAUUGCACUGGUCCAUUACUAGCUUCACACAUGUCCUUGACACGGUUGGCGAAGUUGACUUACGAAAUUCCCCACAAGAAAAGGUAACCUCCCAAGAUGACGUACACAAAGAAAAAUCAUAGAUAGCACCAAAAAUGAAAAAUUAAGUUAUGAUCACACCAUCUCCAAGUAUGCUAGAUUGUCAUAAACUAGUACCUCGACUAUAUAAAACAACUAAUAGAUUGGUCCCUGCUUAAGGAUGUGGAUGCCAUCCACAACAUCCACUCAUACUACAAUAUUUGAUCAUAUGACUGUCGGUUGUGUGUCUGGCCUGAAAUAGGAAGUAUGUUUCUGCAUUACCAAAUAAUUCAUGAGUAACCUAUAAGAAAAGAGGUGGAUAUUUUAAAUGCUUGGUCGUCUUUAUGAAAAUGUUGUUCCUCGGGGAAGCCUUAGGUUUUCAUCACAGUGGUUAAAAAAUAUAAACAAUUUCAGGAACCUUUUGGAACAUUUAUAUUCUAUUUUUAUCGGUUUUAGAAACCCUUCACUUCCUUUCGUUGGGAGCUGGUUGUUCUCGAGGACAAUGUUUUUAAGGUUGAUUUCCCCACUGUGGAUGAUUUGCAGAGAUUGCUGAGCUUUGGCUUGUGUAGAGUUCUUGGAACUAAGUGCAUUCUGGAGUUUCACGAGUGGAAGAAGGUGGAGCCUAAGGGAAAGCCGCUUACGCAGGUCUGGUUGCGGUUUUCAGGGGCUCCAUCUAAGCCUUUGCAGGAUGUUCGAGUUGUGGCCAGUAUGGGUAUUAUGGUUGGGAAGACGGAGAGAGUGGAUAUGGCUUUUACCCGUGCUCAUGGGGUGGCCCGGAUUUUGGUGAGUGUUCUGGAUAUUGAGUUCGUGCCUGAUGUGGUCAACUGGACUUAUAGGGGAGAGGUAUUCCCGCUCGAGAUCGAGUUUGAGGACACUGAUCUGUUUGCUGAUGCGGUUAAUGGGAAUGAUGUUGAUAUGCACGAGGGUGGCGGCAGUGCGAGAGCCAAGGGGGCACCGACUGAUGAGUUGACACGAGAGGGGUCUAACGGCUCUCGCCCAAAUGCUCAGUUGCUCGGGGAUGGGACCGGGGUUGAGCCGGCAGCCUCACCAUCGGUGCCUAUGACUUCGUUGUGUUUUAGGUCCCUUGAGCCAGCCUUAGCGCCUCCCAGACUUUGGAGUGGCCGGGUUUAUUCUGAGGAUAUGUUUGAGCGCGCGCUCCCUUUGUUGGAGUUUGAGGGGGCUGGCGGAUCAUUGGCUGGACGCUUGGUGAGGGCCUCGUCGGCGAGGACUUUGGUUGGAGUUGGGGAGGGGUAGCCGGAGGUUGCCUCUAUUUCCCUUGCUUCUCCUGUGGUCGAGGCUCCGGUGAUGACGACUGCGUGUGAGCUGGGGCUUGGGGGAGGGGGUUCGGGGCAGGUGGCCUCGCCUUCUCCCCUCCCUAUCCCGACGCCGGUGACGCUUGUCCUGAGGGGGUCGGCCAACGCUGGGAGAGGGAGCCCGAGGCAGGCGGCCUCGACUCUUUCUUCUCCGGUCGUGGCGACGGCGCCCGCGCCUCCAGUAGCGCUGGAGGGAGGGGGUCUGGGGCAGGUGGCCCUGGCUCCUCCUUCCUCUUCGGCGGUCAGGAGGACCGCAUCUCCUACGACGACGGCGCUCCACUUUGCGACGGCGGGUGGGGCGGGAGGAGGGCUCGGGCAGGCGGCCCCCGCCAUCCUCUCUCCUGACGUGCCCGUGGCCUUGGGCCUUGGUGUGGGGCACUUGUCUGAGGGGCAUGGGAGCCCGCAGCCGCCGCCUCCGGUAACGUUGGUUGAUCCUUUGAGGGAUUUAGCGCGAGGCUUUACUAGGGAGGAGGUCGUUGCUUUUGGCGGGAUACCUGACCCGGUCUCGACGGGGAGACGGAUGAGUGCUCGCAUUCAGGAGCUUCCGGAGGUUGAUGACAUGCAGCAGCGGUGCGCAAUGAGGGCGGCCAAGCUUCAUGAUGCUGAGGUCUCUUCUGGUAUGUCUGUCAACAUUUCUAAUUCUUUAUUGCAUUUUUCUAAUGAGGAGAUUAUAAAUAAUGCAAACCAAUUAGGAGUUUCACUAGGGGCUACUGAUAGUGAGAUUUCCAAUUCGGUGAAUGAUCUGUUAGAUUUGGAGGCGGAACGUGCCUUAGAGAUUAUUCAUAAUCUCGCAGUGGUUAAACCAAUGAAUGAUGAUGAGAUUGAUGCAUUAGGGGUUAGAGUGCUCGAUAAUCUGUGUGCGGAUCUAGCACCCUCCAAUAAUGAGUCUGAGGACGAUGAUAUGCUCCUAGAUAAUGCCGUCGUUAGUACCGCUGAGCCCGGUUAUGAGGACCGGGCGACAGAGCCUAGUAAACCAAAGCGCAAGUGAAAACGAAAGAUUUAUCCCGUUUCUGCAGUUCGUAGGAGUGCUAGGAUUCGGACUACUAAAAAAUUGCAUGACGAAUUAUGAAAGGAAUCUUUUGGAAUAGCAGAGGUCUGAAAGACUUGGCUAAAAGAAGGUUUCUUGCUGAGGCAUCUCUGGAGCAUCGUUUAGAUUUUAUUGCUCUAUCGGAAACUGGUAGAGAUAACUUUGCGCCCCAGUUUCUUUCCUCUCUUGCGGGUGGUGUUGAUUUCGAUUGGCAUUGCCUCCCUCCGCGAGGAAGAUCGGGUGGUAUCUUGCUGGGUGUGGGAUGCGAUUCGCUUGAAGUCCGAAGUGUAGUGAUGGGCGACUUCGCAGUAAAGUUUCGAGUCAGGUCUAAAGUUGAUGGUUUCAACUGGGCUUUGGUAUAGGUUUAUGGUGCCGCACAACCCGAGCUUAAAUCGGAGUUUUUGGCGGACCUUGUUCGAAUCUGUGGGUCAGAGCAGCUUCCAAUUUUAGUUGGGGGUGAUUUCAACAUCAUUAGGAGGAGAGAGGAGAAGAAUAAUGAUAACUUUGACGGCAGGUGGUCGUUUAUGUUCAAUACCAUUAUCGAAAGCUUGGAUCUGAGGGAGAUUGAGCUUUCUGGUAGAAAGUUUACCUGGGCUAAUGCUAUGACAAACCCGACAUACGAAAAACUCGAUCGAGUCCUCGCGAGCGUGGAGUGGGAACAGAAGUUUCCUCUUGUUACGGUGCAAGCUCUUUCGCGGGGAAUAUCCGAUCACACACCCUUGUUCGUGGACUCAGGGGAGCCAAACCAGUGGGAAAUAAAAACACCUUUUCAUUCGAGAUGGCCUGGUUCGAACGCGAGGGGUUCUUGGACUUGAUUGCCAGGGAAUGGGCUAGGGGUGCAGGAGGUAGGACUGCGGUCGAGCGUUGGCAGAAUAAGAUUAGGAAUUUGAGAAGUUUCUUACGGGGUUGGGAUAAGCACCUCAGUGGGAUGUAUAAGAUUGAAAAGGAUAGGCUCCUUUCUCUUAUACAGGCCCUGGACAUAAAGGUCGAAUCCACGAUUUUGCUGCCAGCUGAGCUUCAGGUUAAAACUGAGGCGGAGAAGAGGUUGAAAGAACUUCUCCGCGAAGAAGAAUUGAAGUGGGCUUUGCGGGCUAAGGUCCGCAAAGUGGUCCAAGGGGACGCGAAUACUCAAUUCUUUCAUUUGAUUGCUAAUGGUAAGCACAGAAAGAAGCGAACCUUUCAACUUGAACAAAAUGAGGGCACUAUUUUAGGACAAGAUAACCUAAAAACCUAUAUUACCGAGUAUUAUAGGCAGUUAUUUGGACCUCCGCAGGAUAAUUGUGUGUCCCUCGAUGAGUCCAGGACUGAGGAUGUACCUCAACUAUCGGCUGCCGAUAAUGAUAUUCUGGUCGCCCCGUUCUCGAGGUGUUUGAUGCUAUUGCACAGAUGAAAAACAAUAAGGCUCCCGGACCAGAUGGAUUCCCGGUCGAGUUCUAUAAAAAGUGUUGGCACAUUAUUAAGGGGGAUUUGUUACCUAUGUUUCAUGAUCUGUUCUCUGGACAGCUUCACUUAUUUCAGUUGAAUUUUGGAACUAUCACAUUGCUUCCAAAGAAAACGGAUGCUAUGAGAAUUGAGCAGUUCAGGCCGAUCUGCCUCCUCAAUGUUAGUUUCAAAAUUUUCACCAAGGUCGGGACUAAUAGGCUCACACAGAUUGCGCAUUCUGUGGUGCAACAAUCCCAAACUGCUUUCAUGCCGGACAGAAACAUCCUUGAAGGGGUGGUCGUCCUUCAUAAAACGCUCCAUGAAAUCCAUUCCAAAAAAUUAGAUGGAGUAACUUUUAAGGUGGAUUUCGAGAAAGCGUACGAUAAGGUCAAAUGGCCAUUCCUCCAACAGGCAUUGCGUAUGAAAGGUUUUGAUGAAGCCUGGCGCCGACGGGUUGAAUCAUUUACUCAAAAGGGAGUGUGGGAAUUAAAGUGAAUGACGAUAUAGGUCAUUACUUCCAGACACAUAAAGGCCUUAGACAAGGAGAUUCGAUGUCCCCUAUCCUGUUUAACAUUGUGGUGGAUAUGUUAGCAAUUUUGAUAGAAAGGGCUAAGGAGAAUGGUCAAGUAGGUGGCUUGGUACCUCAUCUCGUUGAUGGAGGUGUAUCCAUCCUUCAGUACGCUGAUGAUACAAUCAUCUUUAUGGAGUAUGACUUGGCCAAGGCGAGAAAUAUGAAGCUGGUGUUAUGCCUUUUUGAACAAUUGACCGGGUUAAAGAUUAACUUUCAUAAGAGCGAGUUGUUCUGCUUUGGUAGAGCCAAAGAAGAACAGGAGGCUUAUAGGCAAUUGUUUGGGUGCGAGUUGGGGGAUUUACCUUUCUCUAACCUAGGUAUUCCAAUCCACCAUGGUAGGAUGACAAACAGAGAAUGGAAGUGCAUCGAGGACCGAUUUGAGAAGAAACUGAGUUGCUGGAAGGGUAAGCUCAUGUCAUACGGAGGCCGAUUAAUUCUGAUAAAUUCGGUGCUCACGAGUAUGCCUAUGUUUCUCUUAUCGUUCUUUGAGGUCCCAGUUGGUGUUAGGAAAAGACUGGACUUCUAUCGAUCACGUUUCUUUUGGCAGGGUGAUGAACUUAAAAGAAAAUAUCGGCUUGCUAAAUGGGAUAUCAUCUGUAGACCGAAAGACCAAGGGGGUCUUGGUAUUGAGAAUCUUGAGGUUAAGAACAGAUGCCUUCUUAGUAAGUGGCUGUGGAAGCUCUCAUCUGAGACUGAUGCCACGUGGGUGCAAAUCCUUCGCAGCAAGUACCUCCAGACAAAAACUUUGUCCCGGGUCACAGUCAGGCUGACUGACUCGCCUUUUUGGAAAGGACUGAUGAAAGUCAAACAAUCCUUGUUUAAUAGAACAAAGUUUGUUAUUGGAAACGGCGCUAGUACGCGCUUAUGGGAGGAUACUUGGCUCGGCGAGACACCCUUGGCCAUUCAAUAUUCGUCUUUGUAUCGUAUUGUUCAACGACGUGAGGUGUUCGUUGCAACGGUAUUUCAAUCUAUCCUCCUUAAUAUUCAGUUUAGACGGUCGCUAGCGGGUAAUUGUUGGGAAGAAUGGCUCCGUCUAGUUAGGAGACUGAUGGAGGUUCAGCUUUCUCAACAACGCGAUGAAUUACGCUGGAAACUGACUAGGUUGAGAGUAUUCACAGUUAAAUCAAUGUACAUUGAUGUUAUUAAUUCGAACUCCAUUCCUACCUCCCAGAAUGUUGGGGAUGUCAAAGUUCCUUUGAAAAUAAAAGUGUUUAUGUGGUUUGUUCAUAAACAAGUUAUUUUAACCAAGGACAACUUGAUAAAGCGUAAUUAGACAGGACCUACUAGGUAUAGUUUCUGUGAUCGGGAUGAGACGAUCAAACACCUCUUUCUUGAUUGCCCGUUGGCCAAAGUCCUUUGGCGGACGGUCCACAUUGCUUUUAAUAUUACUCCACCGAAUUCUGUCAACGCGUUAUUUGGGACAUGGCUUAAUGGGAUUGAGUCUGACUUAGCGAGACACAUUCGGGUUGGAGUUUGCGCUUUGAUGUGGACUAUCUGGAAUUGCAGAAAUGAUUUGGUUUUUAACAGAACAUCACGUAUUCAUUUUUUGCAGGUUAUUUUUCGAGCCACGGCACUGAUCCGUUCGUGGUCGCUACUCACUCCGAUGGGGGCCAGGGAGCAUUUGGUUACAGGAUCUAUCCGCUGGGAGAUGAUAGCUCGGGAUAUCUUCAACCGGUUUGAAUGGCGGUCAUGUAAUAGGAUAGGCUAUUAGUUCACAUAUCUAUCUUUAGCCAGCCAGUUGUGGCGUCUUUUCUUGGCUAGUUUGUGUUUCUAGCCCUAUUUGGCUCUGUGUGAGCUUGCUGUCCUUUUUUUUCUACAGUUCGAGGCUUCGAAACCUUGUUGGAACCUUUUUAUUUGGUUAAUAAAAUGGCCGUAUGCAUCACUCUGAUGCAGAGGCCGGGGAGCUCUCCCUUUUCGAAAAAAAUACGAGCUCCCAUUUCCAAGACGGAAUCAAGACUAAUGAAAUCACAAAUCCCUUGUAACGACGUGUUUGACACAAUGGUCACGCAAUCGUGGGAAUUUGUGGCGACAAUUCUAUAUAGCGCUCGCCCGGGGUAGUGACCCUCAUGUUCCAUAUGCUACCAUGUGAUAGUAUAUAUACUAUUUUAUCAUUUUAAAUAUGUUCAUAUAUCAUUCUAAGUAUAUAUACUAUUUCAUAUACCAUGGGAUGGUAAAAGCGCUAAAUAGGAGCUUCCGGUCUUAUUUCAGCCGAAACACGUACAGAAAAAUAAAGUAGGAAUAAAAUCCUGAAGGAGUGCCCAAAAAUGACCAGAGGCUCCGGGAAGGGAUACUCCUGAGUUAGUUGUUCUCUUCGGCCUUUAACAUUCAGUGCAGUAUAGACACUCUGCCAGUUGAUCAUGGGCUUGCACAGUAGCUCACCUGGUUCGUGUCCAGGCUCUACGACAUUGUGCUUGUGGGAAGUUAAAGCACGUCGAAUUAGUAAUCACGCUCAACAACAUUCAGCAUAAUAAUCGAUGAUUCCCUACACUAUGGCCAGCCUAAAAAAAAUCGAGGAAGGACGACCAAUCCAUUUGGGUCAAAAGUCAAAACACGCCACUACAUGCCGCACCUCCUCGUUUGCCAGUUCAAGCCUCUUUUGGUUCAUAUGAUAGAAAUGUUAUAGGAAUAGGAAAAUUAUAAAAAGUGAGAUGACAUGCAUCUUAAUUUUUAUAGAGAAAGAGAUGUCAUUUAAUGCAUAGGAUAGAAAUUUUUCCAUUGAGUCUUAGCUAAUAUUUUUUUUCCUCCAAAAUGUGAAGGAUUGAUUCCUAUCCUAUAUAGGAAUAGAAAUCCAUUUCUACAAACAAAAAGGCUUUAAAAGAAAUUUUUCUAUGCAAAUCUUAUCCUAUAGAAAUCCUAUGACAUUCUUACAAACCAAAAGAGACCGGAGUGGUUGUGGGCUUGUGGUUGUGGCGAUGGGGGUGCGCGCGCAUCUCCUCGUCGUCCUUUGCAUCCUCGUCGCCGGCACAAGCACGGCUCAGCUUUUGCCGCCGCGCGGCCCGGCACCGCAGAUGAAGCCACCGCCGUUCGGGCGCGCCAUGACGAUGAUCAUCACGGUGGUCGCCGUGGCCAUCGGCGUUCUCUUCCUCCUGCUCUUCUUUUGCGCGUACGUCACCCAGUGCCGCCUCGUCGAGGACCACGGCGCGCCGCAGGAGGGUAGCGUCGCGCCGGGCGGGGUGUCCAGGCGGGGAAAGCGCGGGCUGGACCCGGCGGUGGUGGCGACGUUCCCGAUCGUGCCGUACAGGGAGAUCAAGGAGCACAAGAUCGGCAGUGGCGCGCUGGAGUGCGCCGUGUGCCUGACGGAGUUCGAGGACGCCGACGACCUCCGGCUGCUGCCGCACUGCUCGCACGCGUUCCACCCGGAUUGCAUCGACCCGUGGCUCCAGACGCGGACCACGUGCCCGCUGUGCCGCGCCAACCUCGAGAAGCCACCGCCACCGGCUGCCGCCCCAGCGCCCUCCUCGCCGCCGCAUGCCGUCGUGGCGAUGCCGGUGCAGCAGGGUGAGCAGAAGGAGGACAGUGACAAGGACGACCGGAAGGAGGAGGCCGCAGAGCUGGAGAAGCUGCGCAGGGAGCGCCGGGCGGCGAGGCUGCUGAGGUCGCACUCGACGGGGCACUCGGCGGAGCAGUGCGACUGCGAGGACCACGAGAGGUUCACGCUGCGGCUGCCGCAGCACGUGAGGGAGGAGGUGCUCAGCAGGUGCUGCGCGAGGCCGUCUGUGGAGAGCCUGAGCGGAGGAGGGUGCGGUGUGGGAGAAAGAGGAGGCAGCUUCCGCGACGCCGGAGGAGCCAGCAGCGGCGAGCGGCGGUGGCAGACGCUCCUGGCCAGGACGAUGCCAUGGGCCCGAGCCGGGUCGACGCGGAAGGUGCGGGAUGACGUCGCGGCCUCCACGACGGCCGCGCGGCCAUGACCCAGACGACGUCGACGCCGGAACAUUUCGUGUGCUCUUUCCGUUGACUCUGAUGGUGUACAUUGAUUCUUUUGUAAUUCCGUUGGGUGUGGUGUGGGAGGCAAUUCGAUCACAGAGGAGCAGCGUAUGCGUGGUGGUGAUGCUUUGUUUGUGCUCCUUGGUGUUGAUGGGUUAAUGGUUGGUUGGGUGUCCGUCCGUUGCUCUCGGUCAACCCUUCGUUUGAAUGAAAUAUUCAUGUACGUAAAAACACGAGUGUAAACAACGGAUAUGGAAAAGUUUCUCGUGCUGAAAAAUUCUGUGGAGAAGAACGUGCAUGUGGCAUGAAUAUGGCCGUUUGAGUAGGUAUCAUUUUGGCAUUCGGCGUUUGGCUAGCGGAUAUCCGGAGGUAGGAGUACUUGUUUUCUCAACCUGAUCGUGAUUUGUCUUUUUUUUUCUCGAGCUGUGAAUCAAAAAUGAGUUUGAAAUUUCAAAUAAAAUACUUGGGAGCAAGAUGUUUGAGUGGAUGAAAAUUAUCCACCAAAAUGGAAUAUACUAGAAUGUAUCCUUAGGAAAAAGAACAAGAAUUUUCUCAGAAGAAAAUUUCUAAAGAUGAAGAAAAGAAAGGUGUUGAAGUUCCUAAAGUAUGUCGAGGAUAAACAGUUUUCCUGUUUCUCAUCUAGCUGAGAAAUAGUUGUGUCUCAAUCACCUUAACCACCGUUGGUCGGAUCAUGUGUGCUGCAAUAUGUGCGUGAGCUGACCAUGAGCGCAUUAUGUUUCUAAUCGGCGACAGUUUCUUUUUCUUUUUUUGAAUAACAAUCGGCGACAGUUUCUUGUUUCAUGUGGGUGCUGCGAUUUGUGCACGGGGCGGUGCGGCUAUGUAUCGCUUACAGCGAUCCCGAGUGCAGUGUCACCUGCAUCGCUCCGCGGCGCUCCCUAACUGGGCUAACUAUGUGCGACACUGCUCUGUUUGCUCGUUUGUUUUUCUUCUUUUCUUUAUUUUAUACUUAUAUUUCUGUUUUGAAAUAUCGGAAAAAAUAAACAUUUAUAUUUAACUGUUUUAUGAAGUGUUUUAAAAAAAUAUUUAUACAGUGCUAAAAAAAUGUUUGCCCAACUUUCAACCAGUUUUAAUGGCAAUAAAAAAUAUAUACAUCAAAAAAUAUUAACGUGUUUUGAAAUAAGUUGUGACAUUUACAAAAAAGAGUUAUGUAAUGUUAAAUAAAAAUUCACACAACUUCUUCAAAACGUAUAUAAAAUAAUUCAGUUUUUAGGAAAAAAAUGUUUUAUUAAAUGUUAUGCAAUGUAAAAAAAUUGUUCCCAUAAUUCAAAUAUAUAUUUCACACCAUUUAAGAAAGAUAUGUGAAAAUUCAAAAAUGUUCAUGUGUUUCCAAAAUAUGUUUUUCAUUUUCUACAAAUAAUUUUUAAAAAAAUAUUAAACUAUAUAAAAACAAUGUUUUGUAGCAUUCAAAGAGGUUAAUGUUCAACAAUUAUUUUAAAAAUAUUUAACACAUAUUAAAAAUAUGUAUUUGAAAAAAGGUUCAUCAUGUAUUUAGAAAAUGUUCAAUGUGUAUAAAAAAUAUUACAUGUUUCUACAAAAAUGUACAAUAUUUAUAUCAGAUGUAGCCACGUGUUAAAAAAGCAAAAAGAAAAGAAAAUUGAUGAAGCAAUACAUAAGACCGGAGAAAAACAGUGAAGGAAACACAUAAUAAAACAAGAAAAAAAACCACCGAAAAAACUUGUCAAAACUACUACAUAAACAAACAGGACAGGAAUCUGGGUGAGGAGGAUAUGGAGUGACACAAAGUAGUAAGAGGUGGGCAAGUAUCGAACAAAGAAAUGGAAGAUCGACAAAAGAAGAGAAGGGGAUCUAGGAUGGAGUUUGAUUGAUAGAUAGAUGUAGACGGGGAGAAAAAAGGGGAUCCGGGAGAAGAACAUGAGGGAAGGAGUUCGAAUAUGGCAUAACGCCAGUCGCCGAACUAACACCGGAAAUCGCCAUGGAGGCAAGUCGUGCCGCUUCCGAGCGGUCCAGUCUACCACAACAACAGGUGAAACCUACUUAGGAUUUGCAACAAAAGAAAUAUAGCUACCGGUAAUGGGGUGCCCCCAUACAGUUUUCUCUAUGGGAUUUUUACACUUUUUUGUUCUGCCAUAUGUGGCCUUUCCUGUUUGACCCCUGAAGAUCCCAAGUACUUGCUCGUGGAGUGUUGUUUGUAGGGACUCCACGGGCAAGUACUUGGGAUCUGCAAUGAUCAAAUGUUUAGGUAUAACUGACCUUUCUUCCCUGGAGGCGAUGGCAUGCCGGGAAGUGUUGGUACUCGCCCUUGAACUAUCGCUAAUGGAUGUGGUGAUUGCUUCAGACUGCCAAGGAGUGGUCAAUGAUAUUCAUAUCGAUACAGGUGGACUAUAUGCAAGCAUCAUCAAGAAGAUCAAUCAUACAUCCAAGUAGAUAGCUCGUUGUUCCUUCAACUUCGAAGGAAGAGAGACUAAUAUCGACGCGCAUAGCCUCGCUAAACACGCUCUAGGCUUUUCUCUAGAACGCCAUGUGUGACCCUGAAUGUUCCAGACCUAAGUUGUAUCCCCAUGAACUUAUUACUUGAUCAAUAUAAUGGAGUGUGUUUGGAGUAAAAAAUGGUGGGGCCUUUUUCACCUCUCUUUUAUCGUUAGAAGACUUUGAGAGCAGAUCCGUGUUGCUGGGUUGUCUCUCAUAUGUGUUAUUUUCUUAUCUCACCUUUUACUUUUCAGUUCUAAUUUUUUUUAUGUUUCUUUUAUUUUUAUAAUAUUUUUUCCAUGUUCAUACGACGAAUACAAGGGUGCAAUUUCAGUGUGUUUAUAUUUUUAUUACGCAAACACCCACAAGUGUCCGAGUUGCAUAUUUAUCACAUUGUAACCCAAGUGUAACUGCAUGGGCAUAAAACGACUUCAAACGGGGUCGGGAGGGUAUUGACGGGCUACUAGACAUGCAACUGCAAGCGUUGUAACUCAACUGCAACUGCGCGCACAAAAGUGACUGCAACUAGGGCCGGAAGGGGAGUUGCCGACGCCAGUUGCAUGUCGACCACUACAUGCAACUGCAAAUGUUGUAAUCCAACUAUAAGUCCAAGGGCACAAACCGGUUGCAACUAGGUCGGGAGGAAAGUUUUUCGUGGCCAAUUGCAUGUCCAUCAAUAGACAUGGAACCGCAAACAUUGUAACCAAACUACAACUCCAUGGGCACGAAUCAAUUACAACUAAGGUCGGAAGUGGAGUUUGUGGGGACCAGUUGCUUGUCCACCACCAAACAUGCAAUUGCACGGGCGCAGAGCGACAACAAUUAGGGCUGAGCUGAUUUUUCUUCUACUUGUCGCAUGCACACAAGUUGCAUGAGUCGCACCCAUGAGUUGCAACUGUGACAAGACAUAUGCAACCAGUGCCGACCUGGUCUUUUCCCUACUAGUCACACAUGCGCGACUUGGAUGUGACGCACCAAUGCACAAUUGCAACCAUCGCAACACGUAGGCAACUAGCGUCAACCUGAUUUUCCUACUAGUCCAUGUGCAUGAGAUGCAUACGACACACCGGUGCACAAUUGCAAAUGCCUAACUAGACAAAGAUAAAGUACCAAACUGACAAGCAGAACAAGACAAUAGCUCAGUAGGGAAGUGAAUGAGAGGUAGUUAUAUCUCGAUGAGUUCUAGGCACUACCAAGAAUAAAUAGAAAAUAUAUGUUUUCACUUACAAAAUAAAGAUUUUUUCCUUUUAUUUUCCUUGUCUAAUGGAAGGUAUACACAUUAGAUGGACCAAACACACAAUAGUAGAUCUUUCACAAUGGUUAAUCUAAUGGUUCAUCCUCGAUUUUGGAAAUCACUUGUACGAAUAACCAAGACCAUAUUCACAAUACAAACAUUUGCUUCCCAUCUAAGAAACAAAAGGUAGGAGUCUUCUUGUCGAUAACAUCUUAGAUGUCGGUACCAUUGUCUUCAAUUAUAGCACAAAAUCGGAGCCGUUAUGAUCAAAUGUGUCGUAAAAGUAGCCUCUCUUGCAAUAUGGGGCAUCUUAGACCAUGUGGUUAGAUCAUAAUGGCCAAGCAUAUGGAUGUUGGUACAAACAUAGUCUAAUAGAACAAAGAGCGGACAAGAUGACCCCGGGACUCAUUGAUGGUGAUAGACCCUAUAAAUGAUCCUUUUUUACAAAAAGACUGGUUUAGCAAAAUAGAUCAAACAGAUUAUAUAUUAUCAAAAGGAAGUGAGCUGUUUCAAAGACCAUUCAACAAGUACCUCGCUAAAUAGUGUCUCAUCUACGCUUCAUUUUAUACAUUUUUUUAUCAAGAAAAAAGACCACAAUAAACUCUUCGAUUUCUGUCAUCGGGAACCUAGGAAAUGAACAAGUCCAAGAACCCACAACCCACUGUCAAAUAGUACGAGUAGAACAAGCUACUUUGUCGAACCUACACACUACCCCACCUAUCAGAUAGAAUGUUAGGGGGCACAGGGUAGGCUACUCUAACACAAUACGAAGCAUUUCUACCUUGUGCCAUCCAAGAUCAUGCUAUCGGAAGGAGAUCGCGUACGUAUCACUCGACACGUGCAUACUGGUAGAGGGAGUAGACUCGACGAAGCUCGUCGCCGUACUUGUAUUCAUACGUCUCCACUUCUCACCAGAUUCGUCUAAGCAUGACACGAGCCACACCUCCAAAGUGUAUCCACAAAUACGUGUCUAAGGACUAAGGCUGGUCAUAGUGGGGAGUAACUUAGACUAGUGUCAUGCAUAUGACAUUAGUCUAAGUUACUACCUUCGUAAUGCAAAGUAAUAUACUAGUAAUAUCAUAGAUGACUUCAUUUAUUAGCUCGUAGACUCAUCUUGUCUUGAAAAACGUUAUGUUACAGUAACAUAUUAUGUUGCCAUCUUUCAUUAGUUACUUGCCACAUAAGCAGAAUUUUCUUGAAGUGCGCUAUGUUACUAGCUAAGUUACUCCCACUAUGACUAGCCUAAUGGUGGACUUCUUGGUUCCUUGCCAUAGGCCAUUGGAAAGGAGACAAUGGCACUGGGUUGGUUUCUCUAAAGCCUAGAGUGGGUCCAGGCAUUACUAGCUAGAACCCGAGGUGAAGAUAUUGAUACCCAUCUACUUUAAAAACGGAUCGUUUGGCAGGCAUGCGGACAUUAGAUCUCACUUGAGUAUCUGGGAACGACAACUAGCCAUGCCAAACAUGUUUGUAAUUGGGCAAGUUUUCAUACGGUAAUUGUCCACAUAUCUUUACCUAAUAAUAAAGCAAAUUGGAUUUCUUUCGUCCGUCAUGGCAUUUUUCAGAAAAGUCCCUCUAUUUCAGAGAAUUCAACCCGCAGUCCAGUUUUAAGUUAAAACGAAUCAUUAUUUUCGUAUUUUACAUAAAAGUCCAUGUCUUUUCUUGAAAUCAACCCGCCGUCUGGAUUUAAGUCACACCCGAACCGUUAUUUUACAUUUUUCAAAAACCCCAUAAUGUUUUAGGUAAUUCAUCCGCCGAUCAUAUUUAAGUCAAACAAAUGCUUUUUAAAAUCAUCCAUAUCUUUUAAACCGUAACUCCGAUUUGAACAUGUUAUAUAUGAAAUUUGAUUAGAAAAAUAUGUAGAAUAUGAAUAUGAGAUUAUUUUUACCUAUUAAGUAUUUUUAAAUAUUAUUUUGGAAUAUAUUUAAGUCAAACCAGAUGAUUUUUUAAAUUAUCUGUAUCUUUUAAACCGUAACUUCGAUUUUAACAUAUUAUAUAUGAAAUUUUAUUAGAAUAAUGUGUGGAAUCUAAAUAUGAUGUUAAUUUUACCUAUUAAAUAUUUUUAUGGAAACAAACUUAUAAUUUAUAGCGCAAUAUCUUUUUUAAUACCGGCGGCGAUCCAGAUUGCAAAUAAACACCCCACUAUAACCAUAUAGGGAAAAGAAAACAUUGAUAACUACACAUGCAUACCUCUAAAAAAUGUCGCAAGGGAAAACAACAGAUUUCUCAUCACGAAAGAGAGAGAGAGAGACGCCUUAGGAUUAACCAUAUUCAACACAUAUUUUUUGUUGUUUUGUGUGAACACCGAGGCCAUCACCGGCGAGGGUGAGAAGGAGGAUAAGCGGCAACACAAAUAUGAUGCCUUGCAAAAAUAAAGGAGAUGGACCUAUUGUGGUCUUAAGUGAUGGUUGUUGAGUUAAGAGCGUGCGUUAUGUUUUCUCUCCCGUUGCAACGCACGGGCUCUUUUGCUAGUAUGUUACAAAAUUACAUAUCAUAGAGAACCUUGUACUCUGCAGACGAGACAAACUUGGUAAGUUUUGAACAUGAAUUUUUUGUGGUGGCAAUUGGAGGCUGAGUGUAUGAACCUCUUAGCAGACCAUCAGCAAUGGCCUUGUAUGACGUUUCUGUGGGAUGCAAGCCAUCCCAAGAUGCAUACUUUUGUGGGUUAUCACACAUCUUGUAUUCUCCAUGUCCACACUUUGUGGUUAUUGACACACCAUAAGGCCCUUCUACACCGCAGCAAGCCACCAAAGGAUCCUCGAUACCUAAAGAGCAGUUACAGCAAAUGAGAGUCGGGACUAGCAUAUGCAUCUUUUAGUAGAGAAUGUUUUUCUUGCUGCCUUCUAAGUGAUUUCAUGUAUAAACCAUAAAGUUUUGGACCCACCAAACUGAUAAGGGGAAACGAAGAUUUCCGUAGCAGCUCCAUAGUAAUCAGCAUAGAUGAUUGACACACUUGGAUGAAGCUUUCUUAACUUUUCCAACUCAUCCACAAAGAAGUUUGUUGUGGUAGCGUGAGAACUCAUUCAUCCAACGAAUACAACAUGUCUCUGACUCAUAAUCCUCCAUGUUAUCACUUUGGUGCAUCGUGAGGUACACCGGCAAGCACCCGAUGGGGAGGUUGCCGGGAACUAAUAGAGUUUUGGCUCCUAGUGCAAUCAGAUCCUGGAAAUUGCACCUCGUUACAUUGCAUUAUUAUGUAGUUAUGCACUAUUUAUGUAAUUGAGAUUUGACAUAAUAACAAUGGCGAUGAUAGCAUAAGGAGCAAAAACAGAAAAUGACUCACGAUGAUUGUAGAUGAUAUUUUGGAAAUAACACUCGGAGUGAACAAGCGGAUCUUCUCAACAGGCACCAAAGAGGUAAGAGGAAUGUUGUAGUCAUUUCCCCCAAUUUCUCCAACCAAAAAAAGAGAAUUGUUCAUCAUGUCCGCACAGUCUGUUGCAUAAACACGUUACUUUAUCAAUGCGGAAAGGUAACAUCUUAAUAAAUUUAGAAAAUAUAUCGAAAUAGAAAAUACAACAUUUUAUGGUAGCAAAAUAGUGAAAAGGUGUACAACAAUUUAGAUCCAUUUUUUUCUGAUUCCGCUGUAGAGGAAAUUUGGAAGUCUAUAUCUUUGACUUUGAACGCCAAAGUUGUCUCCUCUGGAUAAUAGUAAUGUUGUUGUCAUUUGGUAAAACAAACCAAUUGUAGGUUAUUUACCGUUCCUGUUGAAAUUUCUAAAAUCAAGCUACAACCUCAAUAUAUUAGCAUAAUUUGGGCAUCAAUAUGGACCUUGGAAAUUAUUGGGCUAGGCCCAUUAAUUAUCACAAAAAAUUCCCAAUAAAUCUUGAAGGCCCACUCAUGCAUGCCGACUCCUAUUUGACGCCCUCGGCACCUGUUAUAGGCAAAUCCUAUUUAGCGCUGCAGGCGCUGGUUUCUUCUAUUUCUGCAAACCGGCGCCUGCAGGCUCCUUAGCUGGGCUCGGCCCAUUUAGCAUUUCCUUUUGUCUGUUUUAAAGUGCAAAAAUGUUGCCAGCGAAAGAAUCGACCCUCAGCACCUGUUAUAGGCAAAUCCUAUUUAGCGCUGUAGGCGCCGGUUUCUUCUAUUUCUGCAAACCGGCGCCUGUAGGCUCCUUAGCUGGGCUCGGCCCAUUUAGCGUUUCCUUUUGUCUGUUUUAAAGUGCAAAAAUGUUGCCAGCGAAAGAAUCGACCCUCAGCACCUGUUAUAGGCAAAUCCUAUUUAGUAUAACCAUCGUUAACUUAUCGAUUGAAACUGCUUCCAUCCUUUUUGUUCUUUCCUAGUUCGCAUCUCUUCUUCUUUUUCUAUUUUUCUGUCCUUUUCUUCCUUUUCUAUUUAUUUAUUUUUCUGAAAUGCGCAAUUUAAAUCCAUGAACUUUUUCUUCAUAAUCAACGAACUUUUCUCCAAAUUUAUGAACCAUUUUCAAAACUUGUGAACAUUUAUUAACAUUUGAUGAACUCUUCUCAGAAAUCCAUGAACUUAUUUUUCAAAUUCGAUGAACUUUUCUCAAAUUUAACGAACAUUUAAAAUUCGUUGAACUUUUUAUGAAAAUCAAUGAACUUUUUUCAAAUUUUGAUGACCUUUUUUCUAGUUUGAUGAUUUAUGUUUUCAAAUUUCAUGAACUUUAUCUUAAAUUCGAUGAACUUUUCUCAAAUUUGAUGAACUUUUUUUUUAAAAUUGGUGAACUUUUUUCAAAAUCAAUGAGCUCUUUUCAAAAUCGAUGAACUUUUAUCAAAAUCGAUGAACUCUUUCUCAAAUUUGGUGAACUCUUUCUCAAAUUUGGUGAACUUUUUUAAAAAAGUUCAAUGAACUUUUUUAAAAUUCACGAACUUUUUCCUUUUUUUGAAGUUUUCUUUUCAUUUCAUUGUUUAUGUGAAUGUUUUUUAAUAUUUAUGUUUUCUUUAGUCAAAUAAUCCAUGGUUCAUGUAAAUACCCAGUUUUCCUUAAGUAAUCAAAGAACUAAACAUGGUCUAGCGGUUAACUCGUGUAGGGCACUACCGCUGCGUCCUUGGUUCGAGUCCCACUUCUCCCCGAAAGUAACGUCACAUUUUGCACUCUCCUUUUGCUUUGCAGCACGUUGCUGGGCCGGCCCACUUCGCGUCCGUGCGAGCGCCAGCGACACGAAGCGGCGCCUACAGCGCUCAAUAGGAACUCUCCCUGUUAUAGGCCAUUCCGUAAACCGGCGCACACUCCACUACAAACUGGGCUGACCCAUUCAUUUUUAUUUUCUUUUCUUUUAGCCUUCAAAAAAUGGGUGUCCAACGUGAGAAUCCAACUCCAAACCUCUUGCGAACCAACCUGUGAUUGAGAUGGGAAUGUAACGUCACAUUUUGCAUUCUCCUUUUGCUUUGUAGCACGUUGCUGAGCCNNNNNNNNNNNNNNNNNNNNNNNNNNNNNNNNNNNNNNNNNNNNNNNNNNNNNNNNNNNNNNNNNNNNNNNNNNNNNNNNNNNNNNNNNNNNNNNNNNNNNNNNNNNNNNNNNNNNNNNNNNNNNNNNNNNNNNNNNNNNNNNNNNNNNNNNNNNNNNNNNNNNNNNNNNNNNNNNNNNNNNNNNNNNNNNNNNNNNNNNNNNNNNNNNNNNNNNNNNNNNNNNNNNNNNNNNNNNNNNNNNNNNNNNNNNNNNNNNNNNNNNNNNNNNNNNNNNNNNNNNNNNNNNNNNNNNNNNNNNNNNNNNNNNNNNNNNNNNNNNNNNNNNNNNNNNNNNNNNNNNNNNNNNNNNNNNNNNNNNNNNNNNNNNNNNNNNNNNNNNNNNNNNNNNNNNNNNNNNNNNNNNNNNNNNNNNNNNNNNNNNNNNNNNNNNNNNNNNNNNNNNNNNNNNNNNNNNNNNNNNNNNNNNNNNNNNNNNNNNNNNNNNNNNNNNNNNNNNNNNNNNNNNNNNNNNNNNNNNNNNNNNNNNNNNNNNNNNNNNNNNNNNNNNNNNNNNNNNNNNNNNNNNNNNNNNNNNNNNNNNNNNNNNNNNNNNNNNNNNNNNNNNNNNNNNNNNNNNNNAAUCCAACUCCAAACCUCUUGCGAACCAACCUGUUGUUUAAAUGGGAAUGUAACGUCACAUUUUGCAUUCUCCUUUUGCUUUGUAGCACGUUGCUGGGCCGGCCCACUUCGUGUCCGUGCGAGCGCCAGCGACACGAAGCGGCGCCUACAGCGCUCAAUAGGAGCUCCCCCUGUUAUAGGUCAUUCCGUAAACCGGCGCACACUCCACUACAAACUGGGCUGACCCAUUUAUUUUUAUUUUCCUUUCUUUUUGCCUUUAAAAAAUGGGUGUCCAACGUGAGAAUCCAACUCCAAACCUCUUGCGAACCAACCUGUGGUUGAGAUGGUUAGGUGGACAGUGGUAUUCCCAACCCACCAGGGUUCAAAUUCUGGUGCUCGCAUUAUUUCUGGAUUUAUUUCAGGAUUUCCGGCGAUGCGCUUUCAGUGAGAGGAGACGUUCCCGUCGACGACGAGGUGCCUACGGUGACUUCGUAAAUCUCAAGAUGAUAUGCCGGCUCAGUCUCUCGGAGGUGCUCAUAGGGAUAGGGUGUGCGUGUGUGCGUUCAUAGGGAUGAGUAUAUGCGCGUGUAUAUGAGCGCUUGUGUCUGUAUUGAUGCUCAAAAAAAAAAAACUCCAAACCUCUUGGUUUGGUUCAAACCGCAGUAACCAACUGAGACAGCUUACUAGCUGUACCUAUUUACUUCUUUUUCUUCUAGUUGUGCGUCAAAUUAAAUGCAGCAGUUUCCCUGUAUGGUUUUCUUUCUUUUUUCUGGUUUUGUUUGGCUGUUUCUUCUUUUCUUUAUUUAGUUUUUUCUCUUUCUCUAUCCCUUUUUAUUGUCUUUUCUUUUUUUAGAUUCGUGAACUUUCUUAUAAUAAUGAAUUUUUUCUUAAAUUCAUUAACAUUUUUCUAAAUUCGUCAACAUUUUCUUACAUUCGUGAACUUUUUUCAAAUCAGCAAACUUUUGCCGAAUCCAUGACUUUUCUUCGAAUGCAUGACAGUUUUUCAAAUCCACAAACUCCUUUUAUCCAAGGGUGUUUAGCUUUUGUCCAAAAGACUAGCACAACAGUGUUGCCAAUUAAUCGCGAUGUGCCUGAACCGAUCAGGCUCCAAUUUAUUGUUACUUUUGUACUCACUCUGUAAACUAAUCUAAGAGUGUUUAGAUCACUAAAGUAGUGUUCUAAACACUUAUAUUAAUUUACGGAGGGAGUAAUAAAUAAUGCCCAAGACUUGCUGUGUACAUGUUGCGGCUUUGUCCAAGUCUAAGGCUAGUUUAUCUUGCAGUUAGCUAGACUAGAAUCAAUGCGAGGACUUUGGCCACGAUCGCGUCCGUGGGAUGGCACGGGAGUGAUGGAUCGUGGGCAAGAUCUUCGGUUCCCAUGAAUAAAAGGAGAAACCCGAAAAGGACGUAGGUGUUGAGCGCAUCGCAAAAACCUGUUUCUCUGUGUGUUGCUAUUCGUCAGUUUUCUGUCAGAGAGAGUUUUAGAGCUUGGCUCACAAAUCCACGUGAUUGUGUUGUGUUUCAGGGCCUGAGAUCCAACACAAAACUUAGCGAUAGCUUGCUCAAGAAAAAAAUGACCAAAGAUGGAUGACUAAAGGAGGACCAAAGGAGUAAAUAAAAGAUCAAAUCAGGGACAGAUGUGCUAAUAAGGAUCAAAUCAGAUAAGUACCUGCAGGCAGGAUUCAUCCCACGUACAAACUGGCAAAAUUGUAGGGCAUGUUAGUAGAAAACUUCAAGACAUAUAUCGCAAAAGAAUAUAUGAUGAGCUGAUCUAGCUCAGAAACCAAGUGAGCCUGCACCCGCAUAUGAAGUUUACCUAAACUGAACAAGACAAGAUAUCCUGGUCAUAUUAGAUAUGCACGGCCAGUUUCCAUGGAAUGGAAGGCGUCCUAUUACAGAGUUCUUAUUAUACUUAGUGGAUCCUGAGGCAUAAUGAUACAUACCAAAAAAUUAAACUUUGUUUCGAGCUUUAAAUACAGUCCAGAGAACAACAGCAACACCGACUGGUACUAUCUAUCAAUAAAGAAACAAGCAUAUUACAGAGACUGAAAGCACACUUCACUAUGCGCCGCACAAACCUUGCUACCGGCCAGCUAAAACCAUGCAAUUAAUUUGAAAAGUACAAGAAAUAUAGCACCAAGGAGAAAUCAUAGAGGUUACCUUGGCAUCUUAACAAGAUACGGAGCUCACAUCAAUCUCGACAAAAAAGUUGUGAAGCAAGGAAAGAGAGGAGCUUCAGAGUUAGUGGUGGGUGCUGCAUGAAGUGCAGUGGGAAGCAGAGCUUCAGACUCUGCUUUUGCAUGAAGUGCAGUGGGAUGCAGAGUGAAUGGUAGUAUGGAAGUGAGUAGUGCACUUCAUGUAGAAUAGUGCACUUAGUCACUUCCAUACUACCAUUCCUGAACUCUGCUUCAGAGUUAGCGGUUGGGAUGCUGUAAUACAAAAUUGACAAACAGUAUGUAGUCAUGCCAAACAUCAUACUUGAGGCGGCUUCCACGUGAUUGUAUAUACCACCUCAUCGCAUCACGUCACCUUGGAAGCUGUGUUGAAGGAAAUUACUCCAUCCAUCCCUUAAUAUAAGAACAUUUUCAAACUAACAUAGCUUGAAAAACAUUCUUACUUAUAUUAUGGGACGGAGGGAGUACUUCCCUCAUUGGAAAAAUAAUAUCCGGCAAGUAAAUUAAGAGGUUGAAAUAUCUGAAUGCAGAGGAGUUAGUGUAAAGUAAAUAAAGAGGCUACAAGACCUUUCAGAUGGAGAUGGUGCAUACUUCAAACACUACUUCAAGCAACAUUCUCUCAAGCAACACUAGGAUAAGAAGCAUUCUUCAAUCGACACUUGUAUUUCCUCCACCUCGGCUCCCACAUCAUCAUUUGAGUGGUUCACGCAGGAAGUAAGUGUUGGGGAACGUAGUAAUUUCGAAAAAUUUCCUACGCACACGCAAGAUCAUGGUGAUGCAUAGCAACGAGAGGGGAGAGUGUGAUCUACGUACCCUUGUAGAUCGACAACGGAAGCGUUAGCACAACGUGGUUGAUGUAGUCAUACGUCUUCACGGCCCGACCGAUCAAGCACCGAAACUACGGCACCUCCGAGUUCUAGCACACGUUCAGCUCGAUGACGAUCCCCGGACUCCGAUCCAGCAAAGUGUCGGGGAAGAGUUCCGUCAGCAUGACGGCGUGGUGACGAUCUUGAUGUACCACUGUCGCAGGGCUUCGCCUAAGCACUGCUACAAUAUUAUCGAGGACUAUGGUGGAAGGGGGCACCGCACACGGCUAAGAAUAUGAUCACGUGGAUCAACUUGUGUGUCUAGGGGUGCUCCCUGCCUCCGUAUAUAAAGGUUCAAAGGGGGGGGGUGCGGCCGGCCAGGAGAGGGCGCGCCAGGAGGAGUCCUACUCCCUCCGGGAGUAGGAUCCCCCCUUUCCUAGUUGGAAUAGGAUUCGGGAAGGGGGAAAGAGGAGAGAGAGAAGGAAGGGGGGCGCCGACCCCCUCUCCUUGUCCUAUUCGGACUAGGGGGGAGGGGCGCGCGGCCCAGCCCUGGCCACCUCUCCUCUCUUCCACUAAAGCCCACUAAGGCCCAUAUACCUCCCGGGGGUUUCCGGUAACCUCCCGGUACUCCGGUAAAAUCCCGAUUUCACUCGGAACACUUCCGAUAUCCAAAUAUAGGCUUCCAAUAUAUCAAUCUUUAUGUCUAGACCAUUUUGAGACUCCUCGUCAUGUCCAUGAUCACAUCCGGGACUCCGAACAAACUUCGGUACAUCAAAAUGCAUAAACUCAUAAUAUAACUGUCAUGGAAACCUUAAGCGUGCGGACCCUACGGGUUCGAGAACAAUGUAGACAUGACCGAGACACGUCUCCGGUCAAUAACCAAUAGUGGAACCUAGAUGCUCAUAUUGGCUCCUACAUAUUCUACGAAGAUCUUUUAUCGGUCAGACCGCAUAACAACAUACAUUGUUCCCUUUGUCAUCGGUAUGUUACUUGCCCGAGAUUCGAUCGUCGGUAUCUCAAUACCUAGUUCAAUCUCGUUACCGGCAAGUCUCUUUACUCGUUCCGUGAUACAUCAUCUCACAACUAACUCAUUAGUUGCAAUCCUUGCAAGGCUUAUGUGAUGUGCAUUACCGAGAGGGCCCAGAGAUACCUCUCCGACAAUCGGAGUGACAAAUCCUAAUCUCGAAAUACGCCAACCCAACAUGUACCUUUGGAGACACCUGUAGAGCACCUUUAUAAUCACCCAUUUACGUUGUGACGUUUGGUAGCACACAAAGUGUUCCUCCGGCAAACAGGAGUUGCAUAAUCUCAUAGUCAUAGGAACAUGUAUAAGUCAUGAAGAAAGCAAUAGCAACAUACUAAACGAUCGGGUGCUAAGCUAAUGGAAUGGGUCAUGUCAAUCAGAUCAUUCACCUAAUGAUGUGAUCCCGUUAAUCAAAUAACAACUCUUUGUCCAUGGUUAGGAAACAUAACCAUCUUUGAUUAACGAGCUAGUCUAGUAGAGGCAUACUAGUGACACUCUGUUUGUCUAUGUAUUCACACAUGUAUUAUGUUUCCGGUUAAUAUAAUUCUAGCAUGAAUAAUAAACAUUUAUCAUGAUAUAAGGAAAUAAAUAAUAACUUUAUUAUUGCCUCUAGGGCAUAUUUCCUUCAGUCUCCCACUUGCACUAGAGUCAAUAAUCUAGAUUACACGGUAAUGAUUCUAACACCCAUGGAGCCUUGGUGCUGAUCAUGUUUUGCUCGUGGAAGAGGCUUAGUCAACGGGUUUGCUACAUUCAGAUCCGUAUGUAUCUUGCAAAUCUCUAUGUCUCCCACCUGGACUAGAUCCCGGAUGGAAUUGAAGCAUCUCUUGAUGUGCUUGGUUCUCUUGUGAAAUCUGGAUUCCUUUGCCAAGGCAAUUGCACCAGUAUUGUCACAAGAGAUUUUCAUUGGACCCGAUGCACUAGAUAUGACACCUAGAUCGGAUAUGAACUCCUUCAUCCAGACUCCUUCAUUUGCUGCUUCCGAAGCAGCUAUGUAUUCCGCUUCACACGUAGAUCCCGCCACGACGCUUUGUUUAGAACUGCACCAACUGACAGCUUCACCGUUUAAUGUAAAUACGUAUCCGGUUUGCGAUUUAGAAUCGUCCGGAUCAGUGUCAAAGCUCGCAUCGACGUAACCACUUACGAUUAGCUCUUUGUCACCUCCAUAAACGAGAAACAUAUCAUUGGUCCUUUUCAGGUAUUUCAGGAUGUUCUUGACCGCUGUCCAGUGAUCCACUCCUAGAUUAUUUUGGUACCUCCCUGCUAGACUUAUAGCAAGGUACACAUCAGGUCUGAUACACAGCAUUGCAUACAUGAUAGAGCCUAUGACUAAAGCAUAGGGAACAUCUUUCAUUUUCUCUCUAUCUUCUGCAGUGGUCGGGCAUUGAGUCUGACUCAACUUCACACCUUGUAACACAGGCAAGAAUCCUUUCUUUGCUUGAUCCAUUUUGAACUUCUUCAAAACUUUGUCAAGGUAUGUGCUUUGUGAAAGUCCAAUUAAGCGUCUUGAUCUAUCUCUAUAGAUCUUUAUGCCUAAUAUGUAAGCAGCUUCACCGAGGUCUUUCAUUGAAAAACUCUUAUUCAAGUAUCCCUUUAUACUAUCCAGAAAUUCUAUAUCAUUUCCAAUUAGUAAUAUGUCAUCCACAUAUAAUAUCAGAAAUGCUACAGAGCUCCCACUCACUUUCUUGUAAAUACAGACUUCUCCAAAAGUCUGUAUAAAACCAAAUGCUUUGAUCACACUAUCAAAGAGUUUAUUCCAACUCCGAGAGGCUUGCACCAGUCCAUAAAUAGAUCGCUGGAGCUUGCACGCUUUGUUAGCUCCCUUUGGAUCGACAAAACCUUAUGGUUGCAUCAUAUACAACUCUUCUUUCAGAAAUCCAUUCAGGAAUGCAGUUUUGACAUCCAUUUGCCAAAUUUCAUAAUCAUAAAAUGCGGCAAUUGCUAACAUGAUUCGGACAGACUUAAGCAUCGCUACGGGUGAGAAGGUCUCAUCGUAGUCAAUCCCUUGAACUUGUCGGAAACCUUUUGCGACAAGUCGAACUUUGUAGACAGUAAUAUUACCGUCAGCGUCAGUCUUCUUCUUGAAGAUCCAUUUAUUCUCAAUUGCUUGCCGAUCAUUGGGAAAGUCAACCAAAGUCCAUACUUUGUUCUCAUACAUGGAUCCCAUCUCAGAUUUCAUGGCUUCAAGCCAUUUUGCGGAAUCUGGGCUCACCAUCGCUUCUUCAUAGUUCGUAGGUUCAUCAUGAUCUAGUAGCAUGACUUCCAGAACAGGAUUACCGUACCACUCUGGCGCGGAUCUCACUCUGGUUGAUCUACGAGGUUCAGUAGUAUCUUGUUCUGAAGUUUCAUGAUCAUUAUUAUUAGCUUCUUCACUAAUUGGUGUAGGUGUCACAGAAACAGGUUUCUGUGAUGUACUACUUUCCAAUAAGGGAGUAGGUACAGUUACCUCGUCAAGUUCUACUUUCCUCCCACUCACUUCUUUCGAGAGAAACUUCUUCUCUAGAAAGUUUCCGAAUUUAGCAACAAAAGUCUUGCCUUCGGAUCUGUGAUAGAAGGUGUAUCCAAUAGUUUCCUUUGGAUAUCCUAUGAAGACACAUUUCUCCGAUUUGGGUUCGAGCUUAUCAGGUUGAAGCUUUUUCACAUAAGCAUCGCAGCCCCAAACUUUCAGAAAUGACAACUUUGGUUUCUUGCAAACCACAGUUCAUAAGGCGUCGUCUCAACGGAUUUUGAUGGUGCCCUAUUUAACGUGAAUGCAGCCGUCUCUAAAACGUAUCCCUAAAACGAUAGCGGUAAAUCAGUAAGAGACAUCAUAGAUCGUACCAUAUCUAGUAAAGUACGAUUACGACGUUCGGACACACCAUUACGCUGUGGUGUUCCGGGUGGCGUGAGUUGCGAAACUAUUCCACAUUGUUUCAAAUGUACACCAAACUUGUAACUCAAAUAUUCUCCACCACGAUCAGAUCGUAGGAAUUUUAUUUUCUUGUUAUGAUGAUUUUCAACUUCACUCUGAAAUUCUUUGAACUUUUCAAACGUUUCAGACUUUUGUUUCAUUAAGUAGAUAUACUCAUAUCUGCUUAAGUCAUCUGUGAAGGUGAGAAAAUAACGAUAUCCGCCACUAGCCUCAACAUUCAUCGGACCACAUACAUCUGUAUGUAUAAUUUCUAAUAAAUCUAUUGCUCUCUCCAUAGUACCGGAGAACGGUGUUUUUGUCAUCUUACCCAUAAGGCACGGUUCGCAAGUACCAAGUGAUUCAUAAUCAAGUGGUUCCAGAAGCCCAUCAGUAUGGAGUUUCUUCAUGCGCUUUAUACCGAUAUGACCUAAACGGCAGUGCCACAAAUAAGUUGCACUAUCAUUAUCAACCCUGCAUCUUUUGGUUUCAACACUAUGAAUAUGUGUGUCACUACUAUCGAGAUUUAAUAUGAAUAGACCAUUCUUUAAGGGUGCAUGACCAUAAAAGAUAUUACUCAUGUAAAUAGAACAACCAUUAUUAUUCUCUGAUUUAAAUGAAUAACCGUCUCGCAUCAAACAAGAUCCAGAUAUAAUGUUCAUGCUUAACGCUGGCACCAAAUAACAAUUAUUUAGGUCUAAUAUUAAUCCCGAAGGUAGAUGUAGAGGUAGCGUGCCGACUGCGAUCACAUCGACUUUGGAACCGUUUCCCACGCGCAUCGUCACCUCGUCCUUAGCCAAUCUUCGCUUAAUCCGUAGUCUCUGUUUCGAGUUGCAAAUAUUAGCAACAGAACCAGUAUCAAAUACCCAGGUGCUACUGCGAGCAUUAGUAAGGUACACAUCAAUAACAUGUAUAUCACAUAUACCUUUGUUCACCUUGCCAUCCUUCUUAUCUGCCAAAUACUUGAGGCAGUUCCGCUUCCAGUGACCAGUCUGCUUGCAGUAGAAGCACUCAGUUCCAGGCUUAGGUCCAGGUUUGGGUUUCUUUUCUUGAGCAGCAACUUGCUUGCUGUUCUUUUUGUAGUUCCCCUUCUUCUUCCCUUUGCCCUUUUUCUUAAAACUAGUGGUCUUGUUGACCAUCAACACUUGAUGCUCCUUCUUGAUUUCUACCUCCGCGGCUUUCAGCAUUGCGAAGAGCUCGGGAAUAGUCUUAUUCAUCCCUUGCAUAUUAUAGUUCAUCACAAAGCUCUUGUAGCUUGGUGGCAGUGAUUGGAGAAUUCUGUCAAUGACGCAAUCAUCUGGAAGAUUAACUCCCAAUUGAAUCAAGUGAUUAUUAUACCCAGACAUUUUGAGUAUAUGCUCACUGACAGAACUGUUCUCCUCCAUCUUGCAGCUAUAGAACUUAUUAGAGACUUCAUAUCUCUCAAUCCGGGCAUUUGCUUGAAAUAUUAACUUCAACUCCUGGAACAUCUCACAUGCUCCAUGACGUUCAAAACGUCGUUGAAGUCCCGAUUCUAAGCCGUAAAGCAUGGCACACUGAACUAUCGAGUAGUCAUCAGCUUUGCUCUGCCAGACGUUCAUAACAUCUGGUGUUGCUCCAGCAGCAGGCCUGGCAUCCAGCGGUGCUUCCAGGACGUAAUUCUUCUGUGCAGCAAUGAGGAUAAUCCUCAAGUUACGGACCCAGUCCGUGUAAUUGCUACCAUCAUCUUUCAACUUUGCUUUCUCAAGGAACGCAUUAAAAUUCAACAGAACAAUAGCACGGGCCAUCUAUCUACAAUCAUAAAUAAGCAAGAUACUAUCAGGUACUAAGUUCAUGAUAAAUUUAGGUUCAAUUAAUCAUAUUACUUAAGAACUCCCACUUAGAUAGACAUCCCUCUAAUCCUCUAAGUGAUUACGUGAUCCAAAUCAACUAAACCAUGUCCGAUCAUCACGUGAGAUGGAGUAGUUUCAUUGGUGAACAUCGCUAUGUUGAUCAUAUCUGCUAUAUGAUUCACGCUCGACCUUUCGGUCUCCGUGUUCCGAGGCCAUAUCUGUAUAUGCUUGGCUCGUCAAGUAUAACCUGAGUAUUCCGCGUGUGCAACUGUUUUGCACCCGUUGUAUUUGAACGUAGAGCCUAUCACACCCGAUCAUCACGUGGUGUCUCAGCACGAAGAACUUUCGCAACGGUGCAUACUCAGGGAGAACACUUCUUGAUAAUUAGUGAGAGAUCAUCUUAUAAUGCUACCGUCAAUCAAAGCAAGAUAAGAUGCAUAAAAGAUAAACAUCACAUGCAAUCAAUAUAAGUGAUAUGAUAUGGCCAUCAUCUUCUUGUACUUGUGAUCUCCAUCUCCGAAGUACCAUGAUCAUCAUCGUCACCGGCGCGACACCUUGAUCAUCAUCGUAGCAUCGUUGUCGUCUCGCCAAUCUUAUGCUUCCACGACUAUCGCUACCGUUUAGUAAUAAAGUAAAGCAUUACAGCGCAGUUGCAUUGCAUACAAUAAAGUGACAACCAUAUGGCUCCUGCCAGUUGCCGAUAACUCAGUUACAAAACAUGAUCAUCUCAUACAAUAAAAUUUAGCAUCAUGUCUUGACCAUAUCACAUCACAACAUGCCCUGCAAAAACAAGUUAGACGUCCUCUACUUUGUUGUUGCAAGUUUUACGUGGCUGCUACGGGCUUAAGCAAGAACCAAUCUUACCUACGCAUCAAAACCACAAUGAUAGUUUGUCAAGUUGAUGUUGUUUUAACCUUCGCAAGGACCGGGCGUAGCCACACUCGGUUCAACUAAAGUUGGAGAAACUGACACCCGCUAGCCACCUUUGUGCAAAGCACGUAGGGAGAACCGGUCUCGCGUAAGCGUACGCGUAAUGUCGGUCCGGGCCGCUUCGUCCAACAAUACCGCCGAACCAAAGUAUGACAUGCUGGUAAGAAGUAUGACUUAUAUCACCCACAACUCACUUGUGUUCUACUCGUGCAUAUAACAUCAACAUAUAAAACCUAGGCUCGGAUGCCACUGUUGGGGAACAUAGUAAUUUCAAAAAAAUUCCUACGCACACGCAAGAUCAUGGUGAUGCAUAGCAACGAGAGGGCAGAGUGUGAUCUACGUACCCUUGUAGAUCGACAACGGAAGCGUUAGCACAACAUGGUUGAUGUAAUCAUACGUCUUCACGGCCCGACCGAUCAAGCACCGAAACUACGGCACCUCCAAGUUCUAGCACACGUUCAGCUCGAUGACGAUCCCCGGACUUCGAUCCAGCAAAGUGUCGGGGAAGAGUUCCGUCAGCACGACGGCGUGGUGACGAUCUUGAUGUACCACUGUCGCAGGGCUUCGCCUAAGCACCGCUACAAUAUUAUCGAGGACUAUGGUGGAAGGGGGCACCGCACACGGCUAAGAAUAUGAUCACGUGGAUCAACUUAUGUGUCUAGGGGUGUUCCCUGCCUCCGUAUAUAAAGGUUCAAAGGGAGGGUGCGGCCGGCCAGGAGAGGGCGCGCCAGGAGGAGUACUACUCCCUCCGGGAGUAGGAUCCCCCCCCCCUUUUCUAGUUGGAAUAGGAUUCAGGAAGGGGGAAAGAGGAGAAAGAGAAGGAAGGGGGGCGCCGGCCCCCUCUCCUUGUCCUAUUCGGACUAGGGGGGGAGGGGCGCGCGGCCCAGCCCUGGCCACCUCUCCUCUCUUCCACUAAAGCCCACUAAGGCCCAUAUACCUCCCGGGGGGUUCCGGUAACCUCCCGGUACUCCGGUAAAAUCCCGAUUUCACCCGGAACACUUCCGAUAUCCAAAUAUAGGCUUCCAAUAUAUCAAUCUUUAUGUCUCGACCAUUUCGAGACUCCUCGUCAUGUCCGUGAUCACACCCGGGACUCCGAACAAACUUCGGUACAUCAAAAUGCAUAAACCCAUAAUAUAACUGUCAUCGAAACCUUAAGCGUGCGGACCCUACGGGUUCGAGAACAAUGUAGACAUGACUGAGACACGUCUCCGGUCAAUAACCAAUAGCGGAACCUGGAUGCUCAUAUUGGCUCCUACAUAUUCUACGAAGAUCUUUUAUCGGUCAGACCGCAUAACAACAUACGUUGUUCCCUUUGUCAUCGGUAUGUUACUUGCCCGAGAUUCGAUCAUCGGUAUCUCAAUACCUAGUUCAAUCUCGUUACCGGCAAGUCUCUUUACUCGUUCCGUAAUACAUCAUCUCACAACUAACUCAUUAGUUGCAAUGCUUGCAAGGCUUAUGUGAUGUGCAUUACCGAGAGGGCCCAGAGAUACCUCUCCAACAAUCGGAGUGACAAACCCUAAUCUCGAAAUACGCCAACCCAACAUGUACCUUUGGAGACACCUGUAGAGCACCUUUAUAAUUACCCAUUUAUGUUGUGACGUUUGGUAGCACACAAAGUGUUCCUCCGGCAAACGGGAGUUGCAUAAUCUCAUAAUCAUAGGAACAUGUAUAAGUCAUGAAGAAAGCAAUAGCAACAUACUAAAUGAUCGGGUGCUAAGCUAAUGGAAUGGGUCAUGUCAAUCAGAUCAUUCACCUAAUGAUGUGAUCCCGUUAAUCAAAUAACAACUCUUUGUCCAUGGUUAGGAAACAUAACCAUCUUUGAUUAACGAGCUAGUCUAGUAGAGACAUACUAGUGACACUCUAUUUGUCUAUGUAUUCACACAUGUAUUAUGUUUCCGGUUAAUACAAUUCUAGCAUGAAUAAUAAACAUUUAUCAUGAUAUAAGGAAAUAAAUAAUAACUUUAUUAUUGCCUCUAGGGCAUAUUUCCUUCAGUAAGUACAUCGGAUAUCCUUAUAGCUGGUAAAAAAAAAGAGGUGUUUAAAAUAUCAAAAACAGAAGAUAUUUCUCGGCAGCAAAGGAAAAAUGAUUUUAACAGUAAUAUGCAGUUCCAAUGCUAAAUAAUCUAAUCGAUACAUAAACAAAGAUGGGGAUUAGUAUGGCUGCGUUUCUGCAAUGCACUAUCUGUGGCAAUACUCACAAAAUUAUAUGUACCUCUGACCACUCUUCUAUUAGAGAGGAUUCACAGGUAUAGUGUCCUUACAUAAUUCCUUCCAUAAAAAAGUGAGAUACAAAGUAAUGCUACUGAAAGGACAAGUUGUACAGCCACUUAUUCUUGUUUUCUAGUACUUCUCAGUCCUGAGUCCUGACAUAUACUAACUCGUGAAUCUUCAAGCUAGCUACUCAAAUUCUUUCAUUGUGCAAGGUUGUGCCAUGUGUUGGGCACUACUAGAUUUUCAAGCUGUGGAGGUACGUAAGAAGAACUCCUUGGACUUGGAGGUACCACUGGACAAAUGACCAAUCUGCUGUAGCUUACUAAGUCCUGUCAUUGUCCACUUAAUAUUUUUGAGCCAUACUAGCUAAUUUCCAAGAGAGGGGAGACGUUCCCAACUUAAUUAAGCAGUAACUCAACUAAAGUGACACCAGGCUUUUUAUACAGAGGUCCUCAAUCAGAAAUGGAAGGUUGACGCCGGUGUAACCUGAAAUUUCCAAUUUCCUAACAAUACAAUGUGGCUCAAGGUGGUCAAGAACUAACUCAUCAAUAUUGUCUGGAUCAGCAGAAGAAGACCAACUGAGAGACAAAGAAUUGAGAGAUAUAAUUUCAUUCAAUUUGACAUCCUUAGCUACUUCGGGAUUCUUCUCAAGCCUGCUUACUUAUAGCGUGCGGAGAAUUUUUAAGCUCUUGACUGCACUUAAUUUGCUACCUAUGCUUUCUUCUACCCGGUAGUUAUUUAACUCCUCAAGAAGAGUGAGUAUCACAGCAGAGAAUUCACCAAGUCCUCGUUGGUUUUGAGGAAGAGACAUAUUAGAAUAUCCAUACGAUACAUAUCGCAAGCGAUCAAGGAUCCCGAAAUAUAGCAUUCUGCCGAAGAAUGUCCCCUUCCCAAGAACCAAUAGUGUUGCGGUAAAAUAGCAUCAAAGUGAUAUAGUUUAGUAACCGCGCACAUCCCCUCUGGUGAUAUUUUUUGCAGCUUAAGAUAGCGAAGGUGUUUCAAUUUGCCACAUUUGACAGUGUGUUCUACUAUAUGACACAGUCUUGAACAGAAGAGACGCAAAAACUUCGAGGUUUCAACAACUCUUUCAAGUGCACAAACUACAUUGUGAGUCUCAUACAUACUUUCAUCAAUGAUAAUAGUAUGCAGAUACUUAUAUUUAGAUAUUUUCCUGAUAGUAGCUCUCAAUAUUAGCAUACUUAUAUCAAUGAUAAUAGUACGCUCUCGGUCGCCACCACGUGACGCACUUUGGGCGCUCCCUUCGGAUUUUAUUUUUAUUUUUUCACACACGUUUCCGGCUUUUUAGAUGGUUUUUCCUGGGUUUUUUUUUUUCUGUUUUUCGGUUUUUCACUGGUCUUUCUUAGCUUUUUAACGAAAAAUAUGCGUGAAAAAACACGUUUUCUUUUUCUGCUUCCGCAAGACGCACGGCCAUGCCUCUAGAAAACAGAUAAAAAAUGUGUUUUCUUUUUUUUUCUUUCGUGAGAGACACGGUUUUGCUACCGCAGGAGAUACGGCCGUGCCUCUCGAAAACGGGGAAACAAAUAUGUGUUCUCUUUUUUUCCUUCCGUGGAAGGCACGAUUUUGCUUCAGCAAGAGGCACGAUUUUGCUUUGGCGAGAGGCACGGCUGUGCCACUCGGAAAUGAAAAAAAUAACGUGUUUUAUCUUCUUUUUUUCUUUCACGAGAGGCAUGGUUUUGCUUUCGCGAGAGGCAUGGCCAUGCCUCCCGAAAACGAAAAAAACACGAUUUUCUCUUUUUUCUUUUUCUUCUGUGGGAGGCACAGUUUUGCUUUCGCGAGAGGCACGCUCAGAAACGGCUUUCGGAAAGGAAAAAAUGUGCCCCCCGUUCCGUUUUUUCGUCUAGUUUUCUUGUAAGGUUUUUUUCUAAAGAAAAUAGUUCAUCAAAACCUUCAACAUGGGGCCUAGUUUUAAAGAUCUCGACGCAAGAAAUCCAAUGAUGAAAAUAGUUCAAGAUUUGGUCGCACGGUUUAAGAGGUAAAAUAUUUUAAAUAGACGGAUCUACGCAAAAAAAAGGAAAAAAAAUUGAUCGCACAAAAGUCCUGUCAUUGUCAACUUAAUAUUUUUUUGAGCCAUACUAGCUAAUUUCCAAGUGAGAGGAGACGUUCCCAACUUAAUUCAGCAGUACCUCAACUCAAGUGGCACCAGGUUUUUUAUACAGAGGUCCUCAAUCCAAAAUGGAAGUUUGACGCCGGUGUAACCUGAAAUUUCCAAUUUCCUGACAUUACAAUGUGGCUCAAGGUGGUCAAGAACUAACUCAUCAAUAUUGUCUGGAUCAGCAGAAGAAGAUCAACUGAGAGACAAAGAAGUGAGAGAAAUAAUUCCAUUCAAUUUGACAUCCUUAGCUACUUCGGGAUUCUUCUCAAGCCUGCUUACUUGUAGCAUGCGGGGAAUUUUUAAGAGAAUCUCUAGCAGCCCCAUAUAAUGCCGACCCGCAAAAUGCGUUUAUAGUUUACUGCAGAUGAAAUUUGCGAGUCGAAUUCAUGCGCUGCAGAUCAAACCCGUACAUGAAACUGUAAAAUUUAAAAAAGCAUCCACGGGACAAACUUGCAACGACAUUGAUCAUACAUUACUUCAUCUACAUAUUACAUUGGUCAUACAUAGUUCAUCUACAUUGAUCAUACUAGUGAGGGAAUCUGCAGGCCCGAGCCUAGGUACCAAAAACGACGAGCUCGUGUCGGAGGAGUCGAGGUCGAUGAAGAACUUGGCCUGCUCCGCCUUCGUGACACGCAGGUCUGCCUCCUUAGACGUGCGCGCCUGCAACGCCGCGACGCCCGUCUUGAGGAACAUCUGCUCAUACUCGAGCUCACGGCAACGGUGCGCUUCGGCCUCCUCCUGCUCCCUCGCUGACCUCUCCAUGACGAUGCGCUCUAGGUGCUCCUCCUNNNNNNNNNNNNNNNNNNNNNNNNNNNNNNNNNNNNNNNNNNNNNNNNNNNNNNNNNNNNNNNNNNNNNNNNNNNNNNNNNNNNNNNNNNNNNNNNNNNNNNNNNNNNNNNNNNNNNNNNNNNNNNNNNNNNNNNNNNNNNNNNNNNNNNNNNNNNNNNNNNNNNNNNNNNNNNNNNNNNNNNNNNNNNNNNNNNNNNNNNNNNNNNNNNNNNNNNNNNNNNNNNNNNNNNNNNNNNNNNNNNNNNNNNNNNNNNNNNNNNNNNNNNNNNNNNNNNNNNNNNNNNNNNNNNNNNNNNNNNNNNNNNNNNNNCUCGAGCUUGGCAGCGAGCAGCCCGAACUCCUCCGGCUCUCUCUUCACCAAAGUGAGCCGCGAGCUCGAGGCGCCCGCGGAUGAGCUCCCCGCGGCAGAGGGGCCGAAUGAGGCGUGGCGGCGGCGGGCGAGAUCACGCUCGUGCUCGACCAGCUCGCGACCUUUGAACUCCGGCGGCGGCCGGCUCCCACAGUUGAGCCACCUCCGCGCCCCCCGCUUGCAUGCAACGUCGGAUUUGGCGCGGCGGUGGCGCUCCGCAUUAUCCCAGAGCUCCCGUAGCCAUCCAUGGCUUUUUCAGGCGCGGCGGCGGUGAGAAAUUGGGCGGAGAAGGAGGGGAAUCGCGGCGGAGCGGCAGCAGAGGUGGAUAGGGUUUGACCAGUAUCCGAGCAGUGAAACCGCAUAUAUAGCGGUGGGGGAGAGUUUUUGUGGGCCACGGUAAAAAAUUACAGGCCAGGCCAUGGAUACGAUGUCUAUUAUGGCUAGAAAAAUGGGUCAAAUCCGUAUACUCACCGGAAUUAUACGAAUUCGGCCCUUUUACGGGGUCUGCUAGAGAUGCUCUAAGCUCUUGACUGCAUUUAGUUUGUUACCUAUGCUUUCUUCUACCCGGUAGUUAUUUAACUCCUGAAGACGAGUGAGUAUGACAGCAGAGAAUUCACCAAGUCCUCAUUGGUUUUGAGGAAGAGACAUAUUAGAAUAUCCAUACGAUACAUAUCGCAAGCGAUCAAGGAUCCCGAAAUAUAACAUUCUGCCGAAGAAUGUCCCCUUCCCAAGAACCAAUAGUGUUGCAGUAAAAUAGCAUCAAGUGAUAUAGUUCAGUAACCGCGCACAUCCCCUCUGGGUGAUAUUUUUUGCAGCUUGAGAUAGUGAAGGUGUUUCAAUUUGCCACAUUUGACAGUGUGUUCUACUAUAUGACACAGUCUUGAACAGAAGAGACGCAAAAACUUCGAGGUUUCAACAACUCUUUCAAGUACACAAACUACAUUGUGAGUCUCAUACAUACUUUCAUCAAUGAUAAUAGUAUGCAGAUACUUAUAUUUCGAUAUUUUCCUGACAGUAGCUGUCAAUAUUGGCAUACUUAUAUCAAUGAUAAUAGUACGCUCUCAGCCGUCGCCGUGUGACGCACUCUGGGCGCUCCCUCCCGUUUUUUUUAUUUAUUUUUUUCGCACACGUUUUUGGCUUUUUCGAUGGGGUUUCCCGGUUUUUUUAUGUUUUUUGGUUUUCCACCUGUCUUCCUUACGUUUUUGACAAAAAAACGCGUGAAAAAACGUGUUUUUUUUCUUCCGCGAGAGGCAUGGCCAUGCCUCUAGAAAAUAGAUAAAAAAUGUGUUUUCUUUUUUUUCUUUCAUGAGAGUCACAGUUUUGCUAUCACGAGAGAUACGGCCGUGCCUCAAGAAAACAGAAAAAAAAAUAUGUUUUAUCUUUUUUCCCUUUCGUGGGAGACACGGUUUUGUUUCAGUAGGAGCCACGGUUUUGCUUCGGCGACAGCCACGACCGUGCCACUCGUAAAUGAAAAAGAAAAACGUGUUUUCUCUUCUUCUUUUUUCCUUCCGUGAGAGGCACGAUUUUGCUUCAGCGAUAGGCACGGCCGUGUCUCUCGGAACCAAAAAAAACAUGAUUUUCUCUUUUUCUUUUCCUUUUGUGGGAGGCACGGUUUUGCUUCCGCGAGAGGCACACUCGAAAACGGCUUUCUGAAAGGGAAAAAAUGUGCUCCCGGUUUGGUUUCUUCGUCCGGUUUUUUUGUAUGGUUUUUUUCCUAAAGAAAAUAGUUCACCAAAACCUUGAACAUGGGGUUUAGUUUUGAAGAUCUUGACACAAGGAAUCCAACAAUGUAAAAAGUUCGAGAUUUGACCGCAUGGUUUAAGAGAUAAAAUAUUUUACAUAAACGAAUCUACAAAAAAAAACACACAAGUUAUGACAAGUGGCGCACAUGCAACGUGCAACUUGUCACAACCUGAAAGGGUGAAAGUGAUCUUUGGAAGGAGUGCUCCUCAAAUGGCGGCGAGCCUAUAUCUCGCAUACAGCGAAGACAUAUGGCUGCCACCUGAAGCGAGCGCUAGAUGGCCUAGCCCAGCGAACGGAGGCCACAGGCCUCAAAAGCGCUUGUUUUUUCAUAGUUUCUUUUUCAUUUUUUCUUAUUUGAUUUCUUUUUUACUUUUUGUUAUGUAAAUAUUUGGCAUAUUUUCUAAAAUAAUGUUAAUCAAGCAUUUGAAAAUGCCAAAUGUGUAUAUAUAGAAUGUUUCUGAUGUAUACACAAAUGUAAAAUGCGUAUGGAAUAAAGUAAACAUAAAAAAUAUAAGUUUUCAAAAAAAAAUUCAUGUACUUGAAAAAUGUUCAUUUAUAUGAAAAAAUUGAUGUAUACAAAAAAUAUAGAAUUCGUAUGGGCAGUAGAUAGCAAAACAUUAUAUGCUUUUAAAAAUGUUAAUCAUGUAUUUCGAAAAUGCUAAACAUGUGUACGUAAAAUGGUAAACAUGUACAUAAAAAUGUAUCAGAUAUAUAAGAAAAAUGUAGGAUGUGUACGAAAAAAAUAGACAUAAGAACAUAUAUUUGAAAAAAUAUUAUUCAUAUAUUUGAAAAACUUUAAACAUCUGUUAAAAAUGCUUUAGAUGUAUACCAAAAAAGCAUAGUGUGUAUACAAACAAUAGACAUUGAAACAUUUUUUUUAAAAAAAUUUAACCAUGUAUUUAGACAGUAAACAUUUAAUAAAAAAUGUCCAUGGCGUAUAUGAAAAAAUUUAGAAAGAAAACCAAAAAGGAAAUAAAGAAAAACGAACAAAACCAAUAAAAACCAAAAAGGAAACAAAGAAAAUCAAAGAAAAAUGAAACAAAGAAUAAAACCACUGAAACAAGUUGCAAAAAAUAGAAAACAAUGAAAACUGAGAAAAUGAAAACAAAGAAAUAAACAAAGAAACUUGAAGAGAAAGAAAAGAAAUAUCAAUGAAAACCAAGAAAGAAACCAAAGAAAAACAAAGGAAACAAAAAGUAAGUAUGAUGACAAAAAAGAAAAACCAAAGAAAACUGAUGAAGGAAUAAGAAAACCAAAUAAAUCAAACUCAUCAGCGCACAGACUGACGAACAAACAACCAAGUAACACGCUAUUCGGAUGGCUCAUGCGCGGGCGCGCUGCGGGGAAGCUUCAGCCAAUUGGAGCUAUCAGCUCGCUAUAAGCGAGAUAUAGCUCCCGCAGCGACCAGUGGGCUACACGUUGGUUUCCCAGUUCCUCGAUCAAUCAGUGUUCUUCGCCUAAAGAAACAUCACACUCGACUAAUUGACAAGUCAUGCAAUGAGGCUAGAUCAGGUUGCAGGGAGGUAGCCGGCACGCAGGACGCAGCCACACACACACACGGCAAAGCGUGGGGAAACUGAGAUAUUAAUCAGUUUGCGAAUAGGGCUCCUUUCUUUUGUUAUUUUCAUUCAUUUCAUCUUUGUUGUACAUGUGCAUUGGUUUACUAAUUUUGGUAUUGUCAUCUCUUGUUUGCGUUCAAAUUGUUUUGGGACGGUAGUUGCCUAGUUGCUCAAGCUGUCACAUAUCCAAGAUUUUCAAGAUAGUUGCUUUUUCAAAAUAAAUGUAGAGUCUUUUAGCAUUUAUAUUUGAUACACUUCUAACUAUUGUACCGAACAACACAUAUUAAAGUUAUAUAAUUCCCUCGAGAAAAAAGUUAUAUUUUUUUAAAACACAGUACAAAUAUAGAUGCUCACGUACACGCAAAUACACUUGGCAAAUUUAUGAAUACAGUGCCAAGUCUUGAACUUGAAUCAUGGUGGACGGGAGAUUGAGGAGGAAGCAUGCCGAGGAUAAAUGGACCGUAUAGAUUUCAGCUUACGAAAAGAAAGAUUUUGUUCAUAUUUCAUUCUUCACAAGUAGAUGGACGUUAUACACAGUUACACACUAGAUGGACCAUACAAGUAUGCACAGGUAAAUUGUUCAUAAUGAUUAAUCUAAUGGUUCUUCAAAAUACUACGAAACACCAGAAUUGUAUUCACAAUAGACACUAGCUACUACGUUUCAUCUAAGCAAAUAGAAAGAAAAAAGAAGAAUAACCGUCUUAUUGUUCUCAAUGUUCAUACCAUUGGCUUAGGUUGUACGUAGCACAAAAUCAAGCAAGUAGAAAAUUACAAAAGUUCCCACUCACAAUUGAACAAAACCGAGCACAAAAAGGCCCCCUUCACUAGGCCUAGACACUACCCAAACUAUCAACUAGAAAUAGUGAUCCAACCCAAGAAGAGAACUCCACCGUCAACUGUCAUCGAACAUCAGACGCAAGUGUACAGCUGGCAACUUAACAUCUCGCCAAAAGUUGGCGACUGAAAAACAAAAUCAGGUUCAGAAGCAAUACAAAACGAGAAACACAUAUGCAAUCGUACGCCUGAAGCAGGUGCCAGCCCUGUUUCGGAACCAUGCGCAUCCCUUGAGACCUGCUUGAACCACUUUCCUCUCCACACGAGUAGAUUUUUGGUUCACUGAUUUCAAUGCAACAAUGACUGGUUUCAGAACCGUGAAAGUAUCUGGCCGGUUUCAGAUCAACGAUACUAUCCGCUACGCCGGUCUUGUGGCAGGUUCUUUCCCUAUGUCUCUUAUUCCUGCACAUCGUCAACGGCAUAUACCGUUCCGGUUUUGAGUCUGUUCUUUCUUAUUCUUGUGUAGAUUGAUGUCACCUUUCGCUAUACUAAAAACGAAGAGAUUCUACUACCGAAGUGCAAAAUAUGGAAAAAUGAAUUGGUGGAGUUUGUUGCUUGCUUUGAGGAAGAUGGUUUGUUUAUAUAGAAAGUAAAAGCUGUAUCUACGUACAAAUGAAGUUUACGUUGGUGGCCCAUUUAUUUGUUGUAACUUUAUUAUCCAACGUUGAAUGACUUGGAACACAUUUGGUUGCCUCCACGGUGCUCAUUGAGUGGCACACGCUAAUUUGCUUGUUUUGAAAAGGAAAAGUGGGCAUGUUUAUAGGAUUGUGGUUGUUUACUUCAAAAUACUCUGGAUAUUAUUAUUUUUUGCAGGGUAAAUACUCUUGAUAUGUUUAAUUCUAUUGGUAACACGUACAUACACAGGGGAUACACAAGGAGACCAUGUGAAUUUAUAUAUUUUUUAAAAGGAGGAUAACCCUCGGCCUCUGCAUCAGGACGAUGCAUGCAGCCAUAUAUUAUUAAUAGUGCAAAAUCCAGCAGCUGAACGCCAUUGACCCGGAAAUAAAGCGAAAAACAAACCCUGGGGCCUUAUAUCUUGCGACAGUACCUCGCCCAGAUAGCCACUAAUCCCUAUGAUACAAGACACGUCACAAACAAAAAAUAUACUCCUAGGUUGCGCCUUCAAGAAGGGAUCGCCGCACGUGCACCGAUGAUGGCGAGUCCACCACAAGAUUGAACUACGGAUUCUCAUCCCCAAAGCCAAGCUUCAAUCCACUAUGUUCAGCAAGGACACGACACAGGCGCGCGACGACAUAGUCUGAUCAGAGACUCGUCGUUGAAGCCGUCUGUACCAUCCGUCCUUAUCUGUCUACUGACACCUCGAUAGCCGAAAACCUCUUGAGGAGACAACGGAAGACAAAGACGUCCCAUACCGCCUACCUCCCGCUACUGUCGCACCACCUUGGAUCUGACAGGAACUGGCUAAACAUGACACCUCCAUCAGAGCCACCGUGCAUCACCUGCCAGUAGUAGGCAUGACUUGACGUCUCCAUAUAAGACGCCAUGCGUAGCAUCGGCCGGUAGCACAUCCACCGGUGGCUUCAACUGCCGCUGACAGGCACCGCCCGACAACUCCGAAAGAGGCACAUGUGUAACCCGACGAGCCGCAUUGAACCCGGUCUGUUGAUGGAAGGGACGUCCCAUGCCGCCACCAGCCUCAGAAGGCCCCACCUUGAGAUCCAGACUCUGAAUCGCCCACACAAUCCCGAAGUCCGCCGCCGUUGAUGAAAAGGGUCCGCCACCCCGAUUACGGGCUCUACAGGGAGCACCCACCAUCGCGCCAGCGGUUGUCGUUGCCCAUACAACAACAACCGCCGCCGCGGUCCCGCAUCAAGCGCCGUCGAUGCCGGAGGAAGCUUCGACCUCCACUCGCAUCCUGCGACGUCCCCGGGUGCAGGAUCCCAAGAUCCGCCCCCACAAGAACCUACCAUCUGGCCCGUCAUCCCCGGCGGAGGGGACACCGCCACCGCCAUGUUUGGAUUCGGGCCGGAGUCGCCACCGCCUCUGCCAAGACCGGAUCCAGGCCGGCCGCCACUGCCGCCACCACCGGCCACGCACAAACACCUCCAGCAGGAGCCACUGCGCCGUCAUGGAUCUCGGAACAGGCCGCACCUCCACGGAUCUAACGCCCUCGCCGCCUUACAGCCCGAGAAGGAGGAGCGGCCUCCGCCGCUGCCGUCAAACGCACAAAAGAGAAACCGAAUGCGGGUCUAUCUAGAGGAUCCAGAAUCACAAGGUUUGGAUUAGAUCCGAACUCCAAAAGGCACCUGAGAACCAAAGUAUUUUUCUCCUGAACAAAAAAUGCCUUUCAACAAUUACAGAAGUUCAAGGGGUCCCCACUCACAAUUACACAGAACUAGCAAAAAAGGCCCUUCAACUAGAUCUAGAUAUUACCCCAACUGGAGUAUCAGCUAUAAACACUAUUGAUCCAACCAAAGAAGAGAACUCUACCGUUAGCAGUUGCCUGACAUCAGCCGCAAGCCUACUUCAAAAUGAGAAACACACAUGCAAUCCAAAAUGAGAACAUCAGCCGCAACUGAGCAUCUCCCCAGAGGUUCACGCGACGAGAAACAGAAGAAAGUAGUCCAAAAUGAGAAACACACAUGCAAUCCUACGCUGAAGUAAGUGCCAUCCCUGUGCGGAACCAUACACCUCCCUUAAUAACACAUGCUCGAAUGGUUGUGUUCCCCACGGCAAUAGAUUAUUCUGUCACUAAUUUCUAUGCAACAACAUGCUUGAGAACCACGAAAGUAUCUGGCUGGUUUCAGAACUGAGAGUAUAUACUUCCCCAUGUCUCUUAUUCCUGCGCAUUGUCUACAGCAUACACCGUUUUGGUUUUCAGACUAUUCUUUCAUAUGCUUGUGUGGAUUUCCGUCACCAAUCACUAUACCAAAAUACUGAAAAUGAGGAGUUUGUACUGCCGGGGUGUCAAAUAUGGAUAAAUGAGAUGGUGGGUUUUGUUGUUUGCUUUGAGAAAGAUGGGUUGUCGAUAUAGAAAGGGAAAGCACUAUCUAUUUGGUUGCACGAGGGCUCAUUGAGCGGCACACCCUAGUUUGCCUGUUUUGAUUAGGAAAAAUAGGCAUGUUUAUAGGGUUGUAGAAGUUGUCUAUUGGUAACACUUACAUACACAGGGGAUACAGAAGGAGACCAUGUGAAUUUAUAUGACCGACUAGAAGAGCAUGGUAACCAUUCAAUGUUGUAAUUGUGAGCUUGGGCUCACAUGAAUACUGCUAAAAUAUCCCGUGCUUCCUAAAUACUCGACUGAAUGUUGGUCCAUGGCCUUACGCGCAAUUGUUACAAGUUUGAAGUUCCAAGUGUGUUUGAUAAUCCAAGAAGCAUGCACUAACUUACAUUACCCUCACUGGAGAAGAGUCAUUUGUAGGCCAAGAAGCACAUGUCUCCUCCAUAAAGAGGAACCAAACACGGGUCCAUCUAGAGAAUCCAGAAUCACAUGGUUUGGAUCAGAUUCCAACUCCAAAAGGCGCCUGCGAACCAAAGUAUUUUUCUUCUAAAUGAACAAUGGCUUUCAACAAUUACAGAAGUUCAAGGAGUACCCACUCACAAUUAAACAAAACUAGCCAAAAAAAUGGUGCUUCAACUAGAUCUAGACACUACCGCAACUGGAGUAUUAGCUAGAAACAUCAUGGAUCCAACCAAAGAGAACUACACAGUUAGCAGUUGUCAAACAUCAGCCGCAAGCCAACUUCCAGCAACUUAGCAUCUUCCAGAAGUCCAUGAGAUGAGAAAGAAAAGCACUUUCGAAAGCAGUCCAAAAUGAGAAAAUGAGCAGGUGCCAGCCGUGUGCAAAACCAUACACCCCCCUUAACAGCUUCUCAAACGGCCUGUUUGAGAACCACGAACGUAUCUGGCAUGUUUCAGAACAGGCAAAGUAUCCACUACCCUGGUAUACAGACCUCGUGGUUGGUUUCCCCAUGUCUCUUUCUCUUACUCCUGCGCAUCGUCAAUGGGCAUAUACCGUUUCGAAUUUCAAUCUAUUCUUUCUUAUGCUUUUGUGGAUCGCCAUCACCAUUCACUAUAACAAAAUACUAGAAAUGAAGAGUUUGUACUGCCGAAAUGUAAAAUAUGGAUAAAUGAGGUGGAGUUUGUUGUUUGCUUUGACCAAGAUCGGUUGUCUAUAUAGUAAACGAAAGCACUAUCUAUGCAGUACAAAUGAAGGUUGGUGGUCCAUUUAUGUGCCACAACUUUAUUGUCCGUGUUGAAUGACUUAGGACACAUUUGGUUGCACGGGUGAAUUUAUAUGACCGGCAAGGAUAGCUGAGAAUCCAAUGUCGUAAUGGUGAGCUCGAUCGUGCUCACAUGAACACUGCUAAAAUGUACAUAUGUCCGGUGCUUCCUAAAUACUCGAGUGAAUGUUGGUCUCUGGCCUUAUGCACAAUCGUUGUCAUUUUGAAGUUCCAAGGGUGUUUGAUGGCCCAAGGAGGAUGCAUCAUUUGUAGGGCAAGAAACGCAUGUCUCCUCCACAGAAAGAAACCGAACGCGGGUCUAUCUGUCAGCAGAAUCCAGAAUCGCAAGGUUUGGAUCAGAUCCCAACUCCAAAAGGCACCUGGGAACCAAAGUAUAUUUUUGCUGAACAAGAUUGCACGCCAAAGUAUCAAACCAAAGACCUGAGCCAAAGCUAUGCUUUGCUUUCUCCCUUGAAGGUCGCCAAAGUUUCCAAGCCUGUGCAUUCAGGUUAUAAGAAUCACAACCUCAAUGGCAAGCUGCAUACCGAAAACCUCAAACCAACAUCAAAAAUGGCAAUGGGAGGAGGAUCGCAUUUGCAGGGACACCGGGCGCCGAGGCUGUUCGGCAGGGAAAGGCCGGUCCAUGCCGCCCUGGGUGGACGCGAAGGUGGCUAGCAAACUACUUACAUUCUUGCAGAGAUACGAGCCUAAGUUUUCUGAUUUCUGAACUGAUCAUGUGUGUGUUGCGUUGCAGCGGCGGACAUCAUCCUGUGGAGGAGGCCGAAGGUGUCGGCGUCGAUCCUCGGCGCGGCGACGGCGGCGUGGGGUCUGUUCGAGGUGGCGGAGUACCACUUCCUGACGCUGGCGUGCUACGCCGCCAUGAUUACCAUGCUCACCUUCUUCAUCUGGACCAACGCCUCCGCUUUCCUGAACCUGUACUGCACCAAACCCCAUUUCUUCAGUCCCACGGUUUUGUUUCAGAAUUAGCUUCAGGGCUGAAUUGUGAACUGCACACAGGCCGGUUCCAAGGAUCCCUGAGACAAUCCUGUCGGAGAGGACGGCGAAGCAGGUGAUCCUGGCCCUGCACAGGCGGCUCACCUGGUUCGUGCACCGGCUGUACGCCAUCGCCUGCGGGGAGGACAUCAAGAAGUUCAUCAUGGUAACCAACCCACCUCACAACAAUCCUGAUCUGAUCUAUGCCACAACUCUGAAGCCUGAUAAACUCAUACACACGCUACUGCAGACGGUGGUGUCUCUGUACAUCGCGUCGGUCGUCGCGACCUGCUUCAGCUCCCUCACCCUGCUCUACCUCGGUAAGCAACUGCCAACACCUUCAGUAGCAGAAACUCCCCAUUCUUCAGAAUCCAAUGUACUGAGCUAGCAACGAUGAUACCAUCUUUGUUUUGGCAGUUGUGUUCUUCACGAUGACGGUGCCGGCGCUGUACGAGCGGUACGAGCACGAGGUGGAGCACCUGGUGGCCACGGGGGCGCGCGACGUCCGUACCCACUUGGCCAAGGUGGACUCCGGCGUGCUCCGGAAGAUCCCCAGAGGCAAAGGCGCCACCACCGCCGCACACGGGACGACGGCCAACAACGUGCACGGGUGGCAUCGCUCGCACGUCAACUAAACCUACCCAGCCAACAACAUGCUACUACUAACCAACCUUUACAGAGAUCGAGCGAGCUGCGGACAGAUGUAAAUAUAAGUUCAGAAUAAGACCUGAACGAACCCAGCUAACUACAUGCUCAUCAAUCAGCACACUGUGCAGAGAGGGAGCUGCAGACAGAUGUAAAUUUAUAAGGUUCAGAACAAGACCUGAACGAACCAACAUAUGUUCAUCAAUCUGUACAGUACAUUACAGAGAGCGAGCCUGCAGAGAGAUGUGGAUUUAGGUUCAGAAUAAGACCUGAAUGUAAAGUGUUUCACUCCUACAUGAUCAUGCGUGCAUGCAUGCAUCCAAUCCGCCCGUGCGACCAGUGGUGUGGCGAUCCUGUAAAUCUCUCUACCAACGCAUGCGUGCGCUUUACGGUGGUGCGAUAUCUUCUUUCCAUCCUCCCCUGCUUCCUCCUUUCCGCUUUCCCGUGUACGCGUACCAGUGUAUGUAUCUGUUACGUGAUGGGUCGACCGCCAUGGAAAGGAAGGAAGAACACAAGGGCUCCACCAUUGAUGCAUGGUGGAUGGAGGAGGGCAGACAGCGACACGCACGCACCUGGCAAAGCCAUCGGCAUCGGACGGGUAGAGAUUAUAUUCCCUGGAGCUGAGGCAAUCAACAGUCGCCCGCGCCGUGUCUCCGCCCGGAUCGAAGACGAUCCGCUCCGAUCUCCCGAGGAUCGGAUCGGACGCCCCCUCGCGGCUAAAUUUCGUGUUUUGACCCUUUUCUAAUAUCUUUUCGAGAUCUGAUUCUAGUCUGACUAGUAAUCAUGCACGUCUCGAUCGUAAAACAUGUGAAUUCACAUAAUAUAAAAAAAUAAACGUUUUUAAAAUUAUAAAUCAAAUGGAUACAUAAUGUUUGAUAUCGCUCAAAUUGUAUUUUCAAAAGCGAGACACAAUAGUGGUUAUGUUGCUGCAUAGAGUAAUAAAAAUAUUCUCAUUUAAAUAAAAUCAGCAAUUAUUUAUUAAUGCAAUAAUAUAGGCAUGUAGUAUAGUCUUCUCUUCGAGUGUAGCCAGGGAAAAAAGUAUAAACUGCCUUACAGUGCAAUUAUAUUGUUCAAGAUGCUUAAUUCUCGAAUCUUAUUUUAUUCUACUAAUCUGCAUAGCAAAAUAUAUAUUUGUACUAAUUUGGAUCAAAUUAUAUAUAUUUUUUGGUUGUGUGGACUGCCAAAAUUAUAUAGCUACCUACUAUGGAUAAUAGGAAAUAGAAGAUGAUAUGUGUACAACGACUUCUAUAUAAAAUAAAGAUGAUUUACAAGAACUAAUUGAAAUGUAAAGGGGCUAAAAGAAAAUCCAAUGAUUAUCAUGAUAGAAAAAAUUUAUCCGGUUUUGUAUGUGUUUAUGCGUUGGCAACCAUACUAACUUACAAUGAUGUAAGACGUUUUGUACGUAUAGAAACUGAAAUGAGUUAUGAAGAAAAAUAAAGAUGGAAGGAAAAGUAUUCUAAAGUAUUUGUCAAGCUUAACCUUAUCAAGCUUUCAGGUCAGCUUCUAAAUUACAAAAAAAUGAUGAAUCCUCAAAUAAGAAAGAGCCAACAAUUUGGAACAUGCUACAAAACUGGUGAAUAUAGAAAGCAUUCAUCCUCUUUUUCCUUGUCGUAAGGAGUAGCUUCAGCAUACAUUUGUAACAGUGUAAUACCUGAUUCGGAAAAAGUUUUUCAUUAUUAUUAUUGAAGGAAAGAGGCGUGCAGACAAAGAAAGAGAGGCGGUGCAAAUAAGGCCUUAAACAGCAUGUCUUCGAGUUUGAUGACUGCAGAUAUGUUGGAUCAUUCGAAACUGCACAAGUAUAUAAGAAUAAAUAUAUGUGCCAAAAUAGCGAAAAAUAUUUGGUUUCUCUGUCAUGAAACAAAAUAAAUCCAACUAAGUACAGUUUAUAUGAUUUCUCUGUACCAAUAUACGGUAGCUGUAUUAGGACAGAUCCUUUGAAGGAUCUAUUUAUUGGAACUCAGCCGGAUUAGUUUCUUCAUUGGAUCCUUCUGUAUGGUAAAAUUCUCUUUAUUGAAACGCAGUAGAGAUUGCAUACCUUUACAGAACAGCGAGAGAUAUUCUCUAACAACAGUUACGGAGUCAUGUGACCCGUUUUAGAUGUAUAGAAUCAUGUAACUGAAAUAGUAGUACAUCUUCAAUAUCUUGCCUCCUACUGAAUCUUACAUAAUUUACUGGAUUGCUAUGCAAUUAUGUUAAAGUGACGUGUGUAAAGUUUUCUCUAAGAAUGAAUCAUAUAUUCUGAUUUCCAACCUAUCCCUGGAGAUAGUGCAUAGGCAGGUGCAACCCACCUUAAUUUCAGAUAAAGCAACGUCAUAUGUAAAACACACACUGAUCAAAUAGCACAAAUAAGGCAAUUCUAAUCAAGGGGAUGGCGUUAUCUCUUGAUACGGUCCAGUUUAAUGCAUAUGGUGGUACGAAGUAAAGCACAACGAAGCCGACAUGAACAUGAGAAGUAAUCAUGGAAAAUAGACUCUGUAUCUUGACUUCUUCAGUAUCCCUCUUGAUCCUACUUUGUAAGACAAGAUUGCUGCAUUUUUAUGUACGUGCCAUAUAUAAUUACACAUUUUCAGUACAGCAAUCGGCAACCUAAGAUAAUCCCAAAUCUAUAAUUCUAGAUUGCUUGAAGCCACACGAUUCUUAUUCAAUAUGUAAUGCACAUGCACCCACUGAACAGACACUUUGUCGGCGUGGGUGCUGUGAACGGAGCUGAAGUCAACGCGGAUGCCGAUGGUUGCCGGAGAGCAUGCCCUGGACUUGGAUGGAGUCGUCGCAGUAGCGGCAGAAGAGCGCCUGGCCUCCAGCCAGAAGACGAUGGCGGCGAUAGCACGUGUGUUCCCGGAGGAAGACGAAGCUCCUCGCGCUUCCCCCAUCGUGGCUAGCGUGCAUGAUGGCGGCAGGCGGCUCGCGAUUAGCUUUCUAAUAGGAUGGAUGCGUCCGAUAUAAGUUUUUUAAUAGGAUGGAUUUUUCUGAAAUUAGUUUCCUAAUAGGAUGGAUGCACUCUGAUUUAGUUUCCUAGAAUAUGAUGCACUCGUGAUUAUUAGUUUCUUAAUUGCUCAGGCGUGGAGUUUCAUAUUUUCCUCCACGGUGGAGUACGGUCAGUCAAUGUAAAUUGCUAAGUGCACACAGAAAAUGGUUUAGGUUAAGGCUAAUCGUUAGAUUGAUUUUAGUGGGCCUAAUCGUGCGGUGGUAUUGAAUCUGUGUAUGCUUUGUGAGGUGUACUUAAAUAAAUUUUUGUUUGAUUGUUUAAUAGUAGUAUAGAUAAGACAAGAUUGCUGCAUUCUUAUGUACGUGCCAUAUAUAAUUACACAUUUUCAGUACAGCAAGCGGCAACCUCAGAUAAUCCCAAAUCUAUAAUUCUAGAUUGCUUGAAGUCCCACGAUUCUUAUUUAAUAUGUAAUGCACAUGCACCCACUGAACAGACACUUUGUCGGCGUGGGUGCUGCGAACGGAGCUGAAGUCAACGCGGAUGCCGAUGGUUGCCGGAGAGCAUGCCCUGGACGUGGAUGGAGUCGUCGCAGUAGCGGCAGAAGAGCGCCUGGCCUCCAGGCAGAAGACGAUGGCGGCGAUAGCACGUGUGUUCCCGGAGGAAGACGAAGCUCCUCGCGCUUCCCCCAUCGUGGCUAGCGUGUAUGAUGGCGGCAGGCGGCUCGCGAUUAGCUUUCUAAUAGGAUGGAUGCGUCCGAUAUAAGUUUUUUAAUAGGAUGGAUUUGUCUGAGAUUAGUUUCCUAAUAGGAUGGAUGCACUCUGAUUUAGUUUCCUAGAAUAUGAUGCACUCGUGAUUAUUAGUUUCUUAAUUGCUCAGGCGUGGAGUUUCAUAUUUUCCUCCACGGUGGAGUACGGUCAGUCAAUGUAAAUUGCUAAGUGCACACAGAAAAUGGUUUAGGUUAAGGCUAAUCGUUAGAUUGAUUUUAGUGGGCCUAAUCGUGCGGUGGUAUUGGAUCUGUGUAUGCUUUGUGAGGUGUACUUAAAUAAAUUUUUGUUUGAUUGUUUAAUAGUAGUAUAGAUAAGACAAGAUUGCUGCAUUCUUAUGUACGUGCCAUAUAUAAUUACACAUUUUCAGUACAGCAAGCGGCAACCUCAGAUAAUCCCAAAUCUAUAAUUCUAGAUUGCUUGAAGUCCCACGAUUCUUAUUUAAUAUGUAAUGCACAUGCACCCACUGAACAGACACUUUGUCGGCGUGGGUGCUGCGAACGGAGCUGAAGUCAACGCGGAUGCCGAUGGUUGCCGGAGAGCAUGCCCUGGACGUGGAUGGAGUCGUCGCAGUAGCGGCAGAAGAGCGCCUGGCCUCCAGGCAGAAGACGAUGGCGGCGAUAGCACGUGUGUUCCCGGAGGAAGACGAAGCUCCUCGCGCUUCCCCCAUCGUGGCUAGCGUGUAUGAUGGCGGCAGGCGGCUCGCGAUUAGCUUUCUAAUAGGAUGGAUGCGUCCGAUAUAAGUUUUUUAAUAGGAUGGAUUUGUCUGAGAUUAGUUUCCUAAUAGGAUGGAUGCACUCUGAUUUAGUUUCCUAGAAUAGGAUGCACCCGUGAUUAUUAGUUUCCUAAUUGCUCAGGCGUGGAGUUUCAUAUUUUCCUCCACGGUGGAGUACGGUCAGUCAAUGUAAAUUGCUAAGUGCACACAGAAAAUAGUUUAGGUUAAGGCUAAUCGUUAGAUUGAUUUUAGUGGGCCUAAUCGUGCGGUGCUAUUGGAUCUGUGUACGCUUUGUGGGGUGUGCUUAAAGAAAUUUUUGUUUGAUUGUUUAAUAGUAGUAUAGAUAAGACAAGAUUGCUGCAUUCUUAUGUAUGUGCCAUAUAUAAUUACACAUUUUCAGUACAGCAAGCGGCAACCUAAGAUAAUCCCAAAUCUAUAAUUCUAGAUUGCUUGAAGCCCCACGAUUCUUAUUUAAUAUGUAAUGCACAUGCACCCACUGAAUAGACACUUUGUCGGCGUGGGUGCUGCGAACAGAGCUGAAGUCAACGUGGAUGCCGAUGAUUGCCGGAGAGCAUGCCCUGGACAUGGAUGGAGUCAUCGCAGUAGCGGCAGAAGAGCGCCUGGCCUCCAGGCAGAAGACGAUGGCGGCGAUAGCACGUGUGUUCCCGGAGGAAGACGAAGCUCCUCGCGCUUCCCCCAUCAUGGCUAGCGUGCAUGAUGGCGGCAGGCGGCUCGCGAUUAGCUUUCUAAUAGGAUAGAUGCGUCCGAUAUUAGUUUUUUAAUAGGAUGGAUUUGUUUGAGAUUAGUUUUCUAAUAGGAUGGAUGCACUCUGGUUUAGUUUCCUAGAAUAGGAUGCACCCGUGAUUAUUAGUUUCCUAAUUGCUCAGGCGUGGAGUUUCAUAUUUUCCUCCACGGUGGAGUAAGGUCAGCCAAUGUAAAUUGCUAAGUGCACACAGAAAAUGGUUUAGGUUAAGGCUAUUCGUUAAAUUGAUUUUAGUGGGCCUAAUCGUGCGGUGGUAUUGGAUCUGUGUAUGCUUUGUGGGAUGUGCUUAAAGAAAUUUUUGUUUGAUUGUUUAAUAGUAGUAUAGAUAAGACAAGAUUGUUGCAUUCUUAUGUACGUGCCAUAUAUAAUUACACAUUUUCAGUACAGCAAGCGGCAACCUAAGAUAAUCCCAAAUCUAUAAUUCUAGAUUGCUUGAAGCCCCGCGAUUCUUAUUUAAUAUGUAAUGCACAUGCACCCACUGAACAGACACUUUGUCGACAUGGGUGCUGCGAACGGAGCUGAAGUCAACGCGGAUGCCGAUGGUUGCCGGAGAGCAUGCCCUGGACGUGGAUGGAGUCGUCGCAGUAGCGGCAGAAGAGCGCCUGGCCUCCAGGCAGAAGACGAUGGCGGCGAUAGCACGUGUGUUCCUGGAGGAAGACGAAGCUCCUCGCGCUUCCCCCAUCGUGGCUAGCGUGCAUGAUGGCGGCAGGCGGCUCGCGAUUAGCUUUCUAAUAGGAUGGAUGCGUCCGAUAUAAGUUUUUCAAUAGGAUGGAUUUGUCUGAGAUUAGUUUCCUAAUAGGAUGGAUGCCUUUGAUUUAGUUCCUAGAAUAGGAUGUACCCGUGAUUAUUAGUUUCCUAAUUGCUCAGGCGUGGAGUUUCAUAUUUCCUCCAGGGUGGAUUACGGUCAGUCAAUGUAAAUUGCUAAGUGCACACAGAAAAUGGUUUAGGUUAAGGCUAUUCGUUAGAUUGAUUUUAGUGGGCCUAAUCAUGUAAUGGUAUUGGAUCUAUGUACGCUUUGUGGGGUGUGCUUAAAGAAAUUCUUGUUUGAUUGUUUAAUAAUAGUAUAGAUAAAAUUUCGAGAUAUGACCUUUUUGCUACCGCCAAGGUCCAUGGCGGUAGGGUUUAACAGCCUACCGCCAAGGUCCCUGGCGGUAGGGUUACAUGCCCUACCACAAAAUCUUUUAAGUGUUAAACACAAUGCGUGCUUGUGCCUACCGCCAAGCACCUUGACAGUAGGAUUAUACAGACUACUGCUAGUAUGUUUGGCGGUAGGGAUGUUUCCUAAAGCCAAGGUCCAUGGCAGUAGGUUGUUACACCCUACCGCCAUGGACCCUGACGGUAACAAAAGGGUCAGAUCUUGAAAAACUAAGAUCAUUUUACCACCCCCACCCACUUCCUCCCGGUCACUGUCCAUCCAAUACCUAUCUUAAUUAACCUUCUGCGUCAUGCGUCGACAGAUAUCGUAGUAAAAGAAACGGAGAUGGCAACACUGACAAGCGACACAUCGAUCGAUCCAUCGCUCGGCCGUGCAUGCGCCGGCGAUCGCGCAGGCAGACUCGAGAGGCUCAGCAUGCAGACAUGGGGACAUGGAGUGGGUAGCAGCAGUGCGGCAGUACGUUUACACUGUGCUGACCCACGACGGGUCUGGGGCUCGAGUGGAGAGCUGUUCGUCAGCUCCGCUUUGCCGUGGCUUGUCUCGUCGACCCUUUUGCGCGCGCGCACAGUUACAGUUCAAGGGUUUCCACGGCCCAAAUAAUUGCGCGUUCCGUGGAACGUUUCCAAGUCGAUGAAAACGAAAGCGGGGUUAAUUACUUGGUGCUUAUCAGGUCUCGGUAGAUAUUUUUCUUUUCUUUGGAUUUUUGCGCAUAUGGAAUCAGCCUGUCUGCUUCAGUGUGUUGGUCUAUUGGGCCGCUAACCAACCCCGGCCAUCGCGUGCGUGUUAGGUUAGGCCGCCGGAGGCCCGGCCCGGACAGUCGGUCAACGUGCGCACGGAGACGGCGACAGGCGGGCGCACGCAGUUGGUUACUGGCGGGGUCGCCGUCGACGGCCGGCCGGCGAGGAGCCGAAGUCCGACCUCGCGUUCGCGUGCGUAGGUGCGUGCCACCGGGCUGAGCGAGACUGGAGGAGGACAAAGGCUGACCGAACAACGAGGGUUUGUUGGUGGGAGAACGUGCGCUACGGUCUGAACGAAAGCGAGGUGCCGCACUCGAACGCGGUUCGGCGGAGACACGCUGUCGGUAAGCAAGCAGGGACUGCGUGGGACGAGGAGGCUGCUGGACGUCGCUGUGCGCCGGGGAGGAGCGGUGGCGUGCCGGCGGCAGCGAGACCGGCCACAUGGCGCUGCGCCCGGCCGGACGGGCGGGGGACAUGCGCGCGCCCGUUGGGCCUUUCGGGGGGCCAAAAGAACAACGGGGGAGGAGAUUUCGGAUGGGGCGGCUGUGCGGCCGAGGCGCCGUCCGCCCCGUUCAUGCGGGAGCAGAGAAUCCAUCUCAUUUCCACCGUGACGCCUGGCCUGGGGGCUGGGGCUGGUGCACUGGUGGUACGUGCUGGGGGGCGCACGUGGCGGACCGGGCCGUCCUCGCCGUCGUGGCCGCGGCAGAGGGUCGGGCACGGGCACGGCCAGGCCCACGUGCAACUGUGCCACCCCCACUCCCAUUGGGUCUGGGCAUCCGGCCAGCUCGGACUGCGUACCGGCCUACCGCCAUGCCAGGGCCCGUGCUCCCUCCGCCGGCGCCACUUGCGCCGGGCCGGUGCCACCCGCCACCCCCAUCCGCGCGGAUCCCGAGGCAGGCUGACUCAGCCUCUCCUUCCCGGCGGCCCCAGACCGGAUCGGAUCCAACGCCCACGCCCCUAUCCGACUAGGAUCGCCGGACCUAGUGAAGAACCCACCAUGAUCUACUAUCUAAUAUGACAGCGUGCACAGUGCAUGGUAUGGACUGCAAAUUGAUGCUAAAGCCGUUCUUCUUGGCUCCAAAGCGUACGUACGAGCCAUGCCACCAAAUUAUUGGUAUGAUCCCAACACACACACACACACACACACACACACACACACACAAUAAGAUAAGAAAAGUAGGGCAAGUUGGGGGGAAGAUUAGUUAGUGGGUAAAGAAUGAGCUUUGCCUGGCGCCCAGAAGAGAACCCUUUGAAUACAACGCAAACACAGCCGUAAAGCGGCGUUGCUGCCCUGUUGCCGGUGCUGUAUUACCAUCAUUCUGUUGCGCCAAACCCUUUGUUUACACCGCACACUUUGCUUGCCCUUCUCCCACUGAUUGCCGUGCACUUGUGCAUGCCCAGGAGGGGUGUUUCAGUUCCAGCGUUCUCGACUCCAACACCACGACACUCCAACNNNNNNNNNNNNNNNNNNNNNNNNNNNNNNNNNNNNNNNNNNNNNNNNNNNNNNNNNNNNNNNNNNNNNNNNNNNNNNNNNNNNNNNNNNNNNNNNNNNNNNNNNNNNNNNNNNNNNNNNNNNNNNNNNNNNNNNNNNNNNNNNNNNNNNNNNNNNNNNNNNNNNNNNNNNNNNNNNNNNNNNNNNNNNNNNNNNNNNNNNNNNNNNNNNNNNNNNNNNNNNNNNNNNNNNNNNNNNNNNNNNNNNNNNNNNNNNNNNNNNNNNNNNNNNNNNNNNNNNNNNNNNNNNNNNNNNNNNNNNNNNNNNNNNNNNNNNNNNNNNNNNNNNNNNNNNNNNNNNNNNNNNNNNNNNNNNNNNNNNNNNNNNNNNNNNNNNNNNUAAAGCGCCGGCCUCCACUCGCGCCACCGGAGAGGAAUAAGAUCCCCGGCAGAUCGCAUCGGCAGUACCGCCUACUCGAGUGCCUAGGAAAAGAGCGCGCCGGUGCUUCCGAUCAUGCCAGAUUUCAGUCCACCAAUGAACAAAGAAGGCAACUUGCAGGUUAAACUAAACCCAAACAGUUUGCUGGGGUUCUGCAUACCAGGUAUGCUAGUUUAGAACUUCAGUCUUCAGAUUAGAUGUAUGUGUGGCUGGUGAAGCUCACUGGAAACGGAAGCUCUAACCCCGGCUGAAUUGGUUGGUCAGUCACAUCCACAUAUAACUAUCCACAUAACUAAGCCCAACAAACAUGAUCUAAAGAAAAACAUCUCUUCUCCUUGGCUCAGCACCAGGAAAAGAAUCCACUCCAACAACCAUGUCAAAGCAAAUCCAUCGGCGAAAACCUACAGGCAUGAUAACACUACUACCUCCGUCUCAGUGAAUAAGUCCAUCGGCAAAGACCUAGAACUACGCGAAUGACUUAUUCACCUAGACGGAGGUAGUACCAGGCAUGAUAACACUACCGGAUCCUACAAUUAUUUGCUAGUCAUCCUGGCAUAUAUAGAGCGCGCUAAAAGAAGAAUAUCUAGAAUUGUCAAACUGUGACGCCACGCUUGUAUGUCGAUCCAAAUGUAGUUGGAUGCUUGAAGCAAAAGGAAACACGCACACGAGCACGGGACAAGGGUGUAUUAAAAACCAGAAGAAAAUGUAUCGACAUCAAUAUCAAUAAUGGUACAAAAAUAUGGGACAAAGGGUGUAUGAUGAUAUUUAACUCGGGAUCAAGUUUCUACAAGGCAAGCUAAAUAAUAAACACAUAUCUGACAUUUCAACCUCGGUACCAUCCAUGAGUUUUAAAUAUACAGAGGGGCUACACAAAUGAUGAGUUCUCGAUUCGGAAGUUUUUACUGAGCUUUUUAGACAACUAUAUAUUUAUUCAAAAAUUAAGACAAGCAAUUGGAACUGUAAUCCAACACUUCAUUCACAGGCCUUCCUUCCACCCCCAGCUUGCUGCAACAUCGGCAAAUGGACUCUCCAGGACCAAAUCAGAAACUCCCCCUCAGGCUCGGCAACACAGGGACGAACAUAGUACCGGUUUGAUCUUAUUUUGGACCCCCACCCCUAAUCACAAGUCCAGAUGCAUGCUUGAUUUGAUCCCGAAUGCACAGCUGACCAAUCACAAUAUCCAAUGUUUGCCAUCGACUUGCGCAACUUGUAAUAACAAUAAUGAUAAGUAACAGCAGGAUUACCUCUAGGAUACGCAGCAUAACAGAAUUCACCAAUCCUUCG
Molecule: long non-coding RNA, 70815 nt
Filed under: Triticum aestivum (bread wheat)
Lineage: Eukaryota; Viridiplantae; Streptophyta; Magnoliopsida; Poales; Poaceae
Description: long non-coding RNA (TAES_LNC025083)
Source: RNAcentral